This 65184-nucleotide long non-coding RNA is filed under the name Coffea arabica (coffee). RNAcentral describes it as "long non-coding RNA (CARA_LNC000340)". Lineage: Eukaryota; Viridiplantae; Streptophyta; Magnoliopsida; Gentianales; Rubiaceae. The record is from RNAcentral.
GAAUUAAUGUCCUUUUUCGUAAUGUAAUCAUUAAUCUUGCUGUGUUCCAUCAGUCUAUUGCUUUGAUGUUUUGGAGAUUUAUUGAGACCGUGAAGCACUUCUUUUCGUAUUGGUUUCAAGCUACAAUUGAUUUAUUUAUUUAUUUGCUGCAUGCUACUUUGAUUUAGUCAAGCUAAAUUUGUCAAAUUAGAGGGUUUGAAGCCAAUGGCUUUAAAGAUUUGGGACAUGUCAUUCAACUCUUUGAUUGCAUAAUUUUGAUGAAUAGGACUAUGGCUAGUUAUUUUGACGACGAUAAUGCUGGAAAGCUUGAAUUUUCCCCCUUUUUUUGGGUGGGGGCUGAUUUUUGACAAAUUAGCGUCGCGUAUAGACAACCCAUGUCCAUGAAUGAUGCUUUCUCGACUAUUUGGUCUGACAUUGGAUACUCUGUUUAUGAGUAUCACGUCAAAGAAUACCUGCUUAGUUGGUCAUACACUGUUGAUGAUAAAGACUGCAUCUUUUGCGGGAUUUAACAUAUACUAGAUAUUUCAUCGUCUUUAAACAAAAUUUAGUGAUAUUUUAUUGUGCAUGUGUUGUAAUUCUUAUAGAGUUUUUGGUUUCAGGUCAUGGGAAGGAGUGGCUCAACUUCUGAACUCAUUGAAUGUAUCCAGGGGCAUUCUGCUAGAAGCCAGGUCUGGGAUAAAGGAACUCCAGGUUGGUUUGUGCUAAAAUUCUGUUAUAACUUUUCUUCCUUUUCCUAGUUCCUGGCUUUUGAUUGUGCAACAAGGAACCUUUUGCUUGACUUAUUGUUCUUCUGUGCCCAAAACAAGAUACGCAAAUCCUUGCUGUUCCUAACACGACUUCUAACAUCACAAUUUGUGUUAGAGGUUUAUUAAACACUAUAAAUGACCUUGCGUCCUUUGCAUUCAUUCAGGUUAAUGGAAGUUUUUUACUUACUUUAAACCUAAUCUAUUUAGCAGCAUCUUGAAUUUGGAUGAGAAUAUGAUUUCAUUUUGAGCUGCUCCAAAAUUAUGAUAGUGCUGCUUAAAACUACUUGGAGGACUAGGUUCAAACUUUUUUCUUCUGCUCUCAACUUUCUUUUUAAAGGAGACAUUGUUGAUUGCAAAUUCAGAAUUUUGAUAUCUCUUGUAAUUUUUGUUUCAGUUGCCCGACAAGGAUAUUUUCUUUAUUGUGCAGAGAGAUAUUAGAUUUUUUGCGUACUUUUGUUUUGGAUAAAACAUUCCUUGCAUUUAAGUGCUACUGUGGAGAUGUGAAUCAAAACUCAUAUCUAAUUACUGAAAUCAUCUUGUGGGAUUAAUCAUUAGACUCCAUCAAUUUCAAGUAUAGGUUUCCUCUGCCCCCAGAACUGCUGUGUGUGAAUGAGAAAUCUCGAUGUUUGGACAUCUAAUUUUCUUAAUUGAGGACAAAAACCUGAUCUUUAUGAGGCUGUUCAUGCCUCAAAUCCCUAUGUUUAUGCAGAGAAUCUGGCUAAGAACAAUAAGGAUGAAAGCCAUUGCAUGUCCAACAAGAAAAGGAGCUCAAUAUUUCAAGAAAGAGCAGAACCAUGCCCUUUAAGUUCAUCUUUGUACUAUGGUGGUCAAGAAGAUAUGUAUGUGCAGUCUUCAAAUGCUCAGUCACUGGGCUCAUACCAUGGCGUAAGUUUUUUCACUGCAACCAUCAUCAUGUUUAUGAUUACAUGGCUUGGAUGUAAUUGAACUAGCUUUUGAUGAAAUUAUAGAUAAAUCAGUUUAAGAAACAUUGGGAAGAGGAUGACCAAAACGGGAACGACUCUCAUUCUGCUUCUAGAGGGAAUUGGUGGCAAGGUACGAUUAUGCAUGUUGUAUGAGUUUCUCUGGGUAGAGGUUCAGACAGGUCUAAGUACCAUUCGAACAAUGUUUAUGCAGGGUCACUUUAUUAUUAGGACUGCCUUUCAAGCCCCCAGGCUUAUGAAUUCUUCAGUUAUUUAUUAGAGGUAAGCACCACCCCAUUGAUCGUAGUUUGAUUUUUGAAAAAUAACAAAUAAUUUUUUUUCUCCAACGCCACUUUCGUUGCCAAUAUAUAAUACAAUAUUUGAGCUUUUAAAAUUCAUUGAAAUUGAAGGUUAUGCUCCUCAAGAGUUGGGCUAAUUUCUUAGAAUAUUUGUAUUUAAAAAAAACAACCGCCAAAUGCACCUCUGACAUGGGGUGUUUCUCAUUCUAUGGCAUAAUUAAAUAUUCCACCGGAAUCUUGUCUGCAAAAAAUUCGGUGGUGCAGAGGAUGUCAAUGCGGACGUGCUGACUGGGCACGUCCGCAGCUGAAAAAGCUGUCUGAGCAUGUGUCAGCCGCAGACAUGCUGACUGUGCACGUCCGCGGCUGACCAAAGUGACUCACCUCUGCGCAUGUGUCAGACGGAUGCAAAUGCUAUGAAACUGCGAUCAAUAUCAAUGCAAAUGAUGUAAGCAUUUCGAAGAAUGCUCCAGACACUUCAUCCUUCCUUUCUUUCUUUUUUUGUUCUUAAUAAAAUGACAACAAAAAAGCUGCAAAAUAUUUUUGGAGACAAAAAAGUGCCCAUCUAUGUAUUUAAUGGUAGUAAAUUUCUUUAUUUUAUCACUUAAUUUUUCCUACUCUUAAAUUAGUCUUGGAUUAUAAUGCAACUAGUGAUAGAAGAGAAUCUUAACAACCACAUGAUCAAUUGUUUAGUAGUUCUUCAGUAAAGUACUAAACUUUAUUAUUAUUAUUAUUUUUUUUUUUUGAAAUUGUGUAUUACUUUAGGAUUUAUUAAACAAUGUUAGAGUUUUUUUUUAAAUUAAAAAAAGGUUUCUACAAAAGUAACACAAAGUUAUCGUUAAAAAUGCAUUAUAAUACAGAUAAAUUAUUUUUUUUCUCAAAUGGUCCAAAUACACUCUAAAACUUACCAUGGGCAUGAAUUUUUGUCAUUCCCAUUACUAUUUUGUUUGCAGUCAUAACGGAUUUUAUUUUAUGAUGAAAAUCUAAUACUUACAUUACUAUUAAAUAAUUCAUUCAAUAUUUUCCAUAAUUAUUAUAUGUAUCAUUAAUUUUAAGAGUUAAGCUUCACUCUAUUGUAAUACGACAUAUUUACGUGUCAAAAAUUAAAGAAUCAUUCGUCUGAAUCAUUCGGUGCUAAUGACAGAUUUAGUACAUACUUUCCCGAAAAGUAUAUAGAAGCCUCAUCACGGCAUUCCACUCUGAAGCAGUAAGCAUUCGUCUUAAAACUAUUUUUUUUAGCAUGUGUCAGAUGCGGACGUGCUGACUGGGCACGUCCGCAUUUGACACAACACACCAGCACUGAUUUUGUGUCUCCCGGGGACGUGCCCAGUCAGCACGUCUGCGCUGACACCUUGCACCACUGAAUUUUUGCAAACAAGAGUUCGGUAGAAUAUUUAAUUAUGCAGCCGUGCUGAGUCAGCACGGCCGCUAUAGAAUGAGAAACACCCAUGUCAGAGGUGUAUUUGACGGUUGUUUUUUUUAAAUACAAAUAUUCUAAGGAAUUAGCCCAAGAGUUGGAGACCUUUGGUCUGCUCAGUCAUCUAUGUGAUUUUUGAGCUUCUUGAUAUAAGUGUAAAUGUAGGCUACUACUGUAAAUUGAAGUCUAUCAUUAUGUCAUUUAUACAUGAUUUCUCAUGUAAUUGUAUAUAUUUACUGUAUUUCUAUUGUUUCUACUAUAAGAGGCAUUUCUCUGAUUUGAUUAACUUAUUGUACUUGCAGGGAUUUCAGAGGCCUUGGCUGUGUAGUUUAUAUAGAUUGUCCUGUGGUAGGUAAAGGCCACUUUUUAGGCAGGAUAUUGUGGACAGAACUUGGAUAUUUUUUCAUGAGUUCUUCCUAUCAUUUGGUACAAAAACUUUCCCUAAUAUAAUUUCGUGCUUGAAAGUUUUAGGAGUUUGCAAUGGAGAAGGUUUUUCAAACUUUGUAAUCUGUUAUUGUCUCCCUAGUCUAAACUAGUAAUUACCAGACUUAACUGUUGAUUUUUGAGUGAGUAAUGCAUAAUGAUAGACCUUUUCGUGGUUUCUUUACCAUUUCUACCAAUGAUGAAGCUUGUAGUAUGUGAUGGGCCUUUACGUGAUUUUCCUUUUCUUACUCUCUUUGUAAUUCUGUUGAGAAAUAUGAGCAGGUUAAGAGUUGUUUUCUUUGAAGAUAAUGGAAAUAGUUUGAGGUCUUCGGCUGUGGAUCUCAUUGGUGGGAUACAAAAACCAGUAUAUUUUCCAGCAUAAUUGACUAUUUGAGUUAUGGAUACUCAUAAUUUAUUUUUUCUUUUUUCUCUCUGAGCAUAUUGAAAGGAAGAAUAUUUUCAAACUUAUGUCUGAAUUUUCAGCAUCUAGCACCUAUGAUGAGUUUAAUUGCUAGAUGGGGAUAAAUUAGAAAAUUAGGCUUUUGAGUUGUUUUAAAGUGUUCAUCAGCUGUUCCUCUGUUUAUUUGCAUAAGCACUUCGGAUGUUGUGGAUUCACUAAUGACCUUCUUAACGGAUGCAGUAAGUCGAAUUUUACGUGCUGCUGUAGCAGCAAUUUAAAUGUUUAUUUAUCAACGAAAAAAGCUCAGGAAGACCCAUUCUCAUUUGAAGAGUAAAAUUAUACCAUGGCAGCAAAAUAACAGUAAGCUUCACAAGUUUAGGUUGUACAAGCAGUUCUUUCAGCUUCCCAUCAUAUUGGUCUGUAAGCAUGACAUGCAGCCUGAUCAUACCUUGUGAUUGCCAUUAACAUGAUUCCUGUUUCCUCUCCUUGUUUAUGUUCUCUCCUAGAAAAGACACAAAACAUGUACAGAUAUCACCCAACAUACUCUGCUUGAAGAAGCAUAGCAAAUUAUGCUGUGGUAAUGGUAGGAUACUUGGUUAUAAAAGAACUCUCUAAAUUGAAUUGGUAACAGUCUAGAAGUUUUCUUGCUGCAACAAGUACCGUAACAUACAUUGCUCGUAUCUUGUGUAUAGCAGGUUUCUGGUUUGAAAAACUAAAAUAGCCUUGGGUUGGGAUUCUCUUUUAUAGAUUGUAAGUUUUGUACAGGAAGCUUAGUUUGCAGGGUAGAGAUACAUGGGAAUUGCAGCAAAUGCUACUUGCUGGAGGUCCUGCAAAUCUGCCAUUUAUUUGGUAAUUUGAGGCAGAAUUUAUAUCUAAAACCAAGUGGGAGCCUCUAGUCUAACCAACUUGCUGUUGGUAUUUACAGUAAUCCCUUCUGUACUCUCUAUCAUGCGCAAUACAGAGAAAUAGUCUUUCAUAAGCCGCUGCCAUCUUUGUGGCAGUAUAUAAUUUCAAACCCCUUUCUCUUGCCAACUGACCUUUCUUUUCCAGAAUUACUCUUCCAUCUUCCCAAACCUCAUACAGAGCUUUCUUUAGUGAAGGCACAUUUGGUGAAAAUGUAUACCCUAUCUCUUUGCUGACAAUCACAGAUUCUGUAAUGCUAGCUAGUUUUGUGGCCAUGAGAGGCUUACCAGUCAGGACAGCCUCCAACAAGGUGUGAUCUAACCCUUGAGCUCGAAGAGUUGGGUUUACCAGUAUAUCUAUUGCAUUGUAGAACCCUGCCAACUCGGCCUGUUCCAGUGGCCCCAAAACCAGUAAAUUGGAUCCUAGCUCUCUAUAUCUUUCACCCCAUGGUCCAUCUCCAGCGACAAGAACCAUGACAUUAUCCCGAAUUGUAGAAUUUUCCUUCAAAAUUUGCUUCAAAGCUUGAAACAUCAAUGGGUGUCCCUUGUCCUUUACUAACCUUCCUGCCAUCCCUAGGACCAAUGCUUUGGAUUCUGGAAUGCCAAACUUUGACUUGAAGACUUUGGCCUUUAGUGCAUCUGGCUUGAAUACUCCCUCAUAAACACCGUUAAGAAUAAUGUGAACACGAUCCUCUGGUAUCAUGUAGAUCCGUCUGAGGACAUCUCCGACAUGAUCACUAGUGGCAACAUGGUGAGCAUAACGAGGGAAAAACCUCACCUCUUCCACAACCUUCUUCACCCUUUGGGUCAGUAGAUUUGACUGGGGCUUAUCGGGAGAUCGCAGAAGCUCCUGAAUGAUGUCAGAAUGAAUGGAUUCAUAUGCAAUGCCAUGCCAACUAACAGCUAAAUUAGUCAGAUUCCUUGCUCUUGUGUGCAUAAGCCCGACACUUUCGGUGUGGAUCACAUCAAAGGCUCUUCCUGUCGAGUUUUCAGUUUGAAAUUGCUUCCACACACCAGCUUGGUCCAGAUAACCAGCAGCUGUCGGUUUCGAGAGGUGAAAUUUUAAGUUGCUGAUUGGAUAUUCCGUGAAGGAGGAGUUCGACGAUGCAGUAGUGAAGAUAUGGAGCUCAUGCCCCCUUUCCACAAGAGUAAGAUGGAGAGUCGUGGCAUGGCGUUCGAGCCCUCCGGCAUGAUGUUUAUCAGGCCAUUUCUUGACAAAGAGGGCUACUUUCAGAAGUCUCGCGGGUGGUUUUGAUGGGAAGUUAAGAUUGUUCCAUGCUGAUGGAUAUGUAAGCAAGUUAAUCGUUCGGUUUUGUUCCUGCACUGCCGUUUGGAUUUCUGAAUAGCAGCAUUUAGAGCAGUGAGACCAGUACAAGAAUGAAAUAGAUGAGAAAGUAGACAGGAAAACGAGAACGCAGCAGCAGUACCGGAAAUUGAACAAAUUUCUCUGAUCAUUUGCCAUGACACUUCCAACAAUCAGAAUCUGUUCCUCUCACAGGAGGAAAGGGAAAGGGUACUGUCACUUGCAAGAAAGAUGCAUGUAAAAUUUGGUCUCUGUUUUGGAUCCGAAGAAGCUUGGUUUGCACAUUAUUUUCAACUUGGUUAAUUUGGUAUCAAAUUUAUAAACGUCUUGGAUCCAGCUUCGUUGACUUGAAGGAUUACUAUAAUCUGUUCCACCUGCUACUUUGCUGACUGUUUCCCAACCAAACAGUGGUUCCAAGCCUUGAGAAAGCAAGUUGCGCUCUUAGAUAACACACUAUAAAAUGUUUACAAAGUGAAGUCAGCAGCUCGUGCCCACGCUUAGCUUUGAAUCAAUCCACCGCAUGCCCACAUACAGCGUACCUAAGUCAUUAAUUUAUGUAGUUGUUAAAAAGGAUACUACCCAAUUAGGGAUUAUAAUUUAUGAACAGUCUCUCUAAUUCUCAUCCUCGAUAAAUGUUAUAGUAGUACAUUACUACCAUCCUCAUUUUCCCUAGUAUAAUAGUAAGUAUUUCGUUUCAUGAAGAACGAGAAGAAUUAAAGCGCUCAUUGCCUUUAUGUCUCUUUUCUUGACCUUUUUCUUCCCUCUAUCCAGAUUAUAAGACACAGUAACAAUCAAAAGUUCAAAACAGUGUGAAAUCCUAAACAACCGAGAGUCACUGUACUGUGCCGCACAGAUAUUUGAUGAUAGUACUACGAUUAUUCAUUGGUUUAACUAACUCCUCUAGACUAUUUCACAACACAGACUCUUAAGUCAGUGAUUGUUGCUUAGCCAGGCGAAGGAAAUUGACUGAGUAUAAUGAUGAUCUUGCUGCUGCAUAAUUCUACCGAGUAAAGGCAUGCAACACCACGUAUAUGUAAAUAACAAGCGCAGAUGGCACCAAUAUCACCAGCGGAAAAACAGCCCCAGCGGUAUACCAGCUCCGGCAGGCCAAUGUUCCGAGCUUAAUUUGAACAAAAUCCACGAGUGCCAAUGUCAAGAAAACACAACCAGCGACAGAACCUAAUGCCGAAGCCAAAAUCCCAGAUUGCAGAACCUUCAAAUUGACACGAGCAACGGAAUGCAUUUCAGCGCCAUAAUAUCCGUCCUUGGAACUUCUGAUGGCCUGUUUGAGGGCUAAGGCAAUAAGGCUAGAAAAAAGGAAGGAGCUGAAAGAGUAGACGUGAAAUUUUACGAAGUCUUCCACCAUGCCAGAGCUUGCGGUACAAACUGGGGACGCAACAAGGGUGUUACUGGGGUCCCCGAGGUUCCAAGCAAGGCCUAGGAAGACUCCUACGGUGAACAAUGAAUUCACGUUCAGUAUGCCAUCUAAGGCAAGAACGUGUAUGCUGGUAGUGGAGGUGCUAGCAGUUUUCUCCCGGUCAAUGCUAGGAGUGUGGCUACUCAUUGAACGGCUGAUAAGAGAGUUUGAGAACUAGCAGUUUCUUUGAUCAACACUUCCGAGAACAUUUCUGUUGUUUAAUUCAUCUAUAUAUUUGCGGGGUGCUUUUUCUUGCCUCUUCAUUUGUAUUUUGUUGGUCCCAGUCCAGGUCGAGGAGUGGCGUCAAAGGUAGAAUCUCUAGUUACGUCUCUUCAGCGGCAAGGGAGGGAGGGAGGGAAAGAAUUUGGUCCGUCUGUCGAUUGAGAAAGCUAACAAAACUGAAAAGAGAGGGAAAGAACUUGGUCUCGCAGUUCAGAAAGGGCAAAAACUGAAAGCCAAAAAGCGCCGUUGCCGGGGAUCGAACCCGGGUCACCCGCGUGACAGGCGGGUAUACUCACCACUAUACUACAACGACUGGUUGCUUAGCCAUUUGUGUAAUUUGUUAGUUAUUCGUGGUUCUAAGAUGAGAAUGGUCGAACAUGAUAAGGGACGUCUCUUGAUCGGUUGAUCCUAAUGACGUAUGACUAAUCUUUUCGUUUUUUUCCUUUCCCUAACUUUAUUUCUUUUCUGGGUAUAAAAGCAUACUUGCUUAUUUGCAUGGUUGUGUUAGUUUUACCAUAGGAGAAGUGAUGUUAGUACGCUACCAGGAGGUUGUACUUUAAAUCAAAUUAUGCAGGGAGGUCUUUAGCUCUGCUUUAACAGGAUCACUAGAGGAAUUCGUCCACACACGGCAGUCUAUUUACGGUACUUAGGUACAACAUACAUACGUCGUCUGCUAUUUCGUGUAUCAAGCGAUGAUACGAUGUCCCGAUCUUUGAACAGCACCGAUCCACUCAAGAUCUAGUUGAGCCAGUCAAAGAUUCUGUUGUGCUAACAAAUGAACGGACUUGCUUCUCUCAGCAAAUUUUGUUUUCAAUUUCUCGCAAGCAAUACACAUAUGAACACGUGACUGACGUGUGUCAUCAUUUAUUAACAAUAAACAGGAUUAAUCAGAUUUAAAAUGAUCACGUCUCUUUCCAGUAAAUAACGACACAUGCCACGCAUGUAAAUGUGUAUUUUCAAGGAAACGGAGAGAUGAUCUAUCGAAAAAGAACUAUAUUCACUGUAUCCAUGUUUUUUUAGCAAGUGAACAUACUUACUAAUGAUUAAUCACUGGGUUGAUCUAGCAGUCAAGGGUAGAGUUCUUUUUACCGUCAGACUUAAAAUUUGAAAAGAAAAGAAAAAGCAUAACACGCACAAAUCAGAAUGAAUGAUGGAAGAAGAGGUGAUUUUUGGUUGGUGGCUGAACCGACCUGAAUCAGUCCUCUCUGAGAUGAGGUGAGGUGAAUUCUUAUGUCCGAAGUCAACCUCCUUGUCCGAAGUGAAUGGCGGGGCUUCUCCCCUGGGAUCACUCCGACGAUCAAGUUAGUAUGAGAACGAGAAUAAUAAGAGUACGAGUCAAUGAACAGUAUAUCCUUACUUGAGGUGUGCAUGAGAGGUAUUUAUAGAGUAGGAGUAAAGGAUAGAUCGGAGGGCUCAUGCCGGUGGGACCCGCAUCCUGACAUUACGGCUCCCUGCAAUCAAGGGUAGAGUUCUUUUUACCGUCAGACUUAAAAUUUGAAAAGAAAAGAAAAAGCAUAACACGCACAAAUCAGAAUGAAUGGAAGUAGUACAUUCAGCUCUUAAACACUUUUCUUAAAAAUCAGGAUGACAAACACAAAUACUUGCGUAUUAGUUAGCUAAUCUCCUUGACCCUUGGAGUCAGAAUGGAAGUCGGGCGGAGGCAUCCAUCCUAUGCUAUUGCUUCGCAUUGUCCUGAAAAAAUAUCCCAGAUAGUUUAAAAUAAAAGUUGCGUGUGGCUGUCACGUACUCGCAUGGUACUUCGCUGGGGCAGUUCAAUUCAAGGUGAAGAUGGGGGACACCACGCCCGAGUCUACAUCCCUCAAAAGCUCUCCAUACAAAAUGCGGUGUAGCAUCAGCAGUGGGGUUCAUUUUCGUCCGAUCAUGUGCCUUGCUUGCUUCCGCACGACUUUGAGAUUCAUACAGUUUUGCACCUCUCUACAUCGCCCAUUCAUUCACAUUGGUCCCUCUCUCGCAUUAAGUACGUGAGUUGAAACAUAUCAUAUGGCACCAUUGAGCUCACUCGGUUAACCGUUUGUUAUGGAUAAAUAUCAAAUCAACUCGGUUAGUAAUUGUGCCACUUAACUCAUCACAAUUCAGCUUAGCAGUGAGAUUAUUCAAUCCUUUGUUUGGAGUGCAUUUUUCUGACUUUUUUUUUUUUUGUAGAAAAAUUACUGUAACGAUUUGAUACAUGUGUCAUUGAAAAAUGUGUAAUCACAGAAAAUACAACGUUAAUAAUGUUAUUUUACCAAUUGAGCUAGAUUUUGGGACAUUCUUUAAUUUUUAGCACACUGAUUGUUUACCACCACCUUUGUGUGUGUGUGUGUGUGUGUGUAUAUAUAUAUAUAUACCUUGUUUAAGAUUGAAAUUAACUCGAUGGAAAGGGGCGUCGAUAAUGGCGGCAGCCGCAUCAAGCUGGGUCAGUGGGCUCAUCCUUAUCAAGUGUUUAAUCGACAAAUCAUAUUUUUAGGAGUUUAAUAGGUAUGAAUUUUGAGUGCGUCGGCCUUUUCCAGGCGACUUUCUUAUUUAUUGCAAAAUGUUAAAGUAAAAUUUUAUCUUCUGUGUUCUUCUAAUCCCUGCCGUGAAGAUCUUAUGAGUUAACCACUCUAACUAGAACUGUUUUUCGGUUAUUUUUUGCCUUAGGGGGCUCAACCGUUACAAUAGAAACAGAAAGCUGUUGAUCCGGACUCCAAAUGCAUGAGCUAAUCAAGCACGUUGGCAAGGGACCACUAUAUUUCUUCCCCAAUAAAAGAAAUUCAAAGUAUUUGACUGUGGAUUCAUUUCUGACGACUUUAAUGCCUAAUGAGAACCAAAAUCAGACUUCGAUUGAAAAAAAAAGCAGUUAAUUAGAUUAGAUGCGGCAGGUUAUUAAAACAAGAAACGAUGAAAUGAGAUUGCUGUGAAGUGCAACAAACAGACCAAAGGUUUUGAUUAUCUAUUGAAGUUAGUAGUGUUGGUGCUUCAGGGCUUGCUGUCGCUUGAUUAUUUUAACUGAUUAUAAAUUCUGAUUUUGGAUAAUGUUUGGCGGAUAAGUUUUUUGUCAAGUUUGUCUGUCACAAGUUUUUUAAAAAUUUUUACAGUAAAAUUUUAGACAAACACCCGAACAACUCACUUGCCAAAAAGGGCUCUGUUUUUAUGGUAUUUUUGAUUGAUUUUGUAUUCUGAUUAUAUAUUUUUUUUAAUAAUAAAAAAUUAAAAUAUAUGAUCGCUUAAAGAGUAGUUUUUACUUCUUCUGAUUAUACUCUACAAAUACUUUUUUUAAUUAGAUUUUGUAAAAUUCAAAACAACUAAGAGCAAGGACAGAGUGAUGCUACUCUUAUCGGAUUUUUCUUAAGCAUCCGGUAAGGCCGCUCCUCAACUCAACCGCGCGUGAAAGCAUAUAACCUUCCUUAAUCACUAGACUUCCUGUUCGUCCCUGGGUUAAAGAUCCCAAAAAAGACAACGAAUAAAUACUAGUCGGCUUUUUUCUGGUUUUUGGCCGCUCCUGGGAACAUGCUAAUUGCAAAGUAGACUCCAUCGGCUGUCCAUGUGGAAGCAUUAGUUAAACUUGUUUGUAUUGCUUCUACAUCGGAUACAGACAUCUAUGGUGGUAGUAAUAGUAUGGCUGAAUCCCCCGCCCCAAAUGGCAAAAGACAACCAAAUUGUACAGUAUUUGGUUUGUCAAAAAGAGUGUUUGGAUUGUCAUUAUUUCUUUACUUGUAUCACAGACAUAAUUUUAAAUAUAAAUUUAUAUUUUUUUAAUUAUAUUUUUAUUACACGUACGUGACAUUGCAAAAAAUACUACUAUCACCAUUAUUUUAAAUAAUAAUCUCCUGUUCAUACACUGGGCUUCACAGAAUUCGGAUCAGACUUAGAGGUUAAGUAUGGUGGCCUAUCCCCCAAACCUAACAUGCUAAGUCAACCAUGCAGGUGAACCGGUGAAAUAAGUUAAAGCAACCCCAACUAUACAACCAUAGUAGUAUUGUAAAGCAACCCCAACUAUAAAAAACCAUGGUAUUGUUGACGUCAAUAAAAAGAAAUAAUUUCAGAACCCCUCCCUCCUAAAAUUUUUUAUAAUUUCACUAAGCUCCCUUGAGAUUUUAAAAAUUACACUUACCUCUCUUAUCCACCUAAAAUGACAAUAUCAAUCUUACCAUUUUAAUAAAACUCUCUUGUUGGGUGUGCACAUGCAAAGAGUGGGUUUUAUAAUUAUUGUAUCACAAGCAACACUAACUCAAUAAAAAAAAAAAAAAAGGGAUCCAAAACUACUAUGAUAAUUUUACCAAUCCAAAAUCCACAAACCCUAAAAGAGUAGUGAUGACACGACGCUUUCUUCUCCAAUUCAGAAAAAAAAAACAUGCUUAUUGACGAUAGAGUUAUUGUUAUAAUUGCUUAUUAAACAAUAAAUUUUGUAUUGAAAACUUGACAAUCUUUUCUUAUAUUGUACAAAAGACUAUAUUAGUAUUGCUUUAGAAAGUAAUUGAACUUUGUAAGGCGAGGGUAUUUUGGGAUAUUCGUUUAGAUUUUUGACCAAAUUUAAGGUUUGGUUGCCAAAAGCAUCAAAUCAAAGGUGAUAAUAUGCAAUUUUUAAAAAUUUAAGGGAGCUCAAUAAAAUUAUCAAUAACUUCCUAGAGGUUUAUGAAAUUAUCCCUAACAAAAAUCCCUGCCACCAACAAAUGGCGGGUGGAUUGCGUGGGUAGACAAAUGUAGGAUCCAACUACUAAACCCCAACUGAACUCCUGACCAAAUAUGUGGAGUUUUUCCAAACCCGAUUACCUGCCCCAAACCACCUUUAAAUGCUUUGCCAAACGCCCCAAAAAUACGAGUGAUUUGGGAAGGAAUCUUUAAAUUUAUCAAAGCCCCACCACCUCUCAAUUACUUAUUCAUUAAGUGCAUCUCAAUUCUCAUUUCUAUCAGUUUCUCCCACUACUUCUGCUACUACAACAUCAUCAACAACUCUGUACCGAGUCCUUACCGUUCUUUCACUGUUGAACUUUACUAGUACUGCUACAAAGCCUGGCGCUACGAUCAGCUAAAGGUAAUCGUAUGCUGCUGGCUUCGUUUUAUGGCUUCCCACGAGAGAGAAACUCGUUUGCUUCCAUCUGAAUUAUUCCACCAAGAAGACCAUGAUGUUUCCUCCGAAGAUUACAGCAACAGCAGCAGCAAUAAUAAUAGUAGUAGUAUCAUGGUUUCGCCAAAAGGGUUGCGUAGUUUGGAAUCAAAUUUCAGUUUUGGUGGAUCAGCGUGCUCGUCUUGGUCGGAAUUUAGCUCUCCGAUUAGUUCGGAGUUGGGGUCGACGUCCGAGAGUAAUGAAAGUGAAGAAGAUGAUCAAGAAUUGUUCAUUUCUGAGUUGACUCGUCAGAUGGCAGAGUACAUGCUCCAGGAUGAUGAUGACGACGACGACGACGACAAUCAUAAUAAUAAUAAUAAUACCAAUCAAGAUCAUGAAAGUUCAGUUUUCAAUUACGUCCCCGAAAACUCUGAGGUACUUUUUGGUUUCUUUGGUGAAUAUAUUCUAGUAUCAAAAUUUUUUGGAUGCAUAUCUAAAUUAAUGUCCUUUUUUUUUUUCUUGGUUUUGAAUAGAUACGGAAGGCAAUUGAUCAUACAAGUACAGCUGCUGACUGGUCCAAGUUGAAGUCCGGCUCAGUUUGUUACUACAACAGUCAGGGAUUCGUGAACAAAUCUGAGAAUCCCACUUCAGAGCCUGCAGGUGCUAAGAACCUGAAUACAGGGAUUCACCCAGACGACGAUUCAACUGAUGAACAGUUCCCACCAGUCCAAGUAAGGAAUUGAAGUGGUAGUAGGAUUACUUACUCUGUGUUAGGUGGUACCAAAUUUUGAAUUAAUUACUAUCCAACCGAUGGCUAAUUAAAGGCAACUUAAUUACUACCUUUUUUUUUAAUGGCAGAUUUAUCAGUUGAAAAAUCAACCACAAAUGAGAAAACAAGGUUCGUACGGGGGAAGACAAGCUAAGGCGACUGAAUCAACUCAGCAGCAGCAGCAGCAGCUACUUCAGCACAAGGAACAACAGAGCAUGCAGAACAAAGGCAAGGCAAAGAGAUACGGCCACACCAAAAAGCCUAGUGUUCCUCUAUUCCCUACGGCUGGAUCGGGUAUGAGGGCAAUUUUUCUUGGAGGAUCCGAACGAAACGGGUCUUCUGGCACAGGUGUAUUCUUGCCGAGUGCAACUUACAGCACACCCGAACCCAAAAGAAAAUCCGGUAACUGCCUACUCACUCACCGGUUACUUCUUCACGCUUUUUUUUACAAUCUCUUUUGUUCGUUCUUUUUUUAAAAAAAAAAAUUACUUUAAUAUUUUUUUCUACAGAAAUAAUAAAAAAGAAAAAGAGUCAGUAUCUCUAGUUCCUAAUACAAAUUACUACUAGAUGGUGGAACUUGUCUAUAUGCCUGAAUCAAGAUGAUAUUUUGCUGUUUGUGGUUUUUCCCACUGCAGUAAUUAAAACUUAAAAUUACAGAAAAGGAAAAAAAAAAAAAAACAAAUCCCUUUUUGUUCUUUUCACCUUUUGAAUACAUGUAGUACUUCUUUACUGCACUUCUUUCCCGUCCGUAUAAGCAGCACUACGUUUAAAAUAUCAUUUAUUCAGUUGGAGUGAUUCUAGAAAUGUAAUAAAACCUUCUUGUUUGCCGAUAAAUAUUCAGUUUAUUAAAAAACUCGUUAAUCAAUUUCGAGUUAAAACUCUAGAAAUUAUGUAGGUUAGUUUAAUACUUGCUGCUAAUACUACGUUGUUGAAGGGUGGUUGGGUGGGUGUGCGAGGGUGGGUGGAAGGAUGGAUGCGGAAUCUGUUGGACAGUAUAAAGAAACUGGUAGUACUAACUACUAAGAAGUUUUGGAUCCUGCAGUUGUUUGGUUGUGACCGAACGCAGCAAGUGAUGGACCCCCCUUCGUGAUUAAGGAGUCCUUGGGGGAGGCUGAGAUUCCAUACCCAUCAAAACUGAGCUGUAAUUUUCACACUCAAGUUAAUAAUAAUAUAAGAGAGAAGUAGAGGAAUGGAUUCCGGAAUAUGCAAAUUGGGCAGGGCAGCACACAUGCAUAGGAGGCUUGGCCCCAGAAUCUUUCUGUCGCUGGCUGGCUGGCUGGCGCGGGAUCCACUCAUCCACUCGAUUCGUUAAUUAAUUUUGGGUUCCUCCAUUCAAGUAUCUCUGCAGAGAUACGUGUCUAAAGAUGGAAUCAAUGCUGACCACUCAAACUCUGGCUCUGAAUGAAAGGCAAAAAUAUAUACAUGUAUCUACUAGUAAUGAAUAAUCUCGAGUGUGAGACUGGACUGUAGGAGCAAUGAAUAAUUCACAAGUAAUUUGACUCUCUUUUUCUUUUCUUUUCCUUUUUUUGUUUGGUGGUUGCCUUCUUCUAAUUCUAUGGACGUAUCAGGAUGCUCGACGGUUCUAAUACCGGCGAGGGUGCUACAGGCGCUGCAACAGCACUUCAACACGGUGGGUGCGCUGUCGCCCUCAAAUGCUGCCUCCUCUGCUACUACUAAUCUCCCUUGGCAAAAUGGUACUUUCCCAUCCCACUCACCCACCUUUCUGCGCAGCCUCCCUGAUUAAAUUUAAGCUGGCCGAGUUAGUUGGUUUGGUUGCUGGUAAAGCAACAUCUACCGGUGUAUGUCUGAGCCGAUUCAAAAAAACAGAUUAAUAGCCUAGUACGUACGGUACGGGAGGGAGACUGAGGAUGCAAUUUUUCUUUUCCUUUUUUUUAAAAAAAAUUUUUUUUGGUGGCCUGGAUUUGUUUUACAGAGGUAUUGGCAAGAAUAAAUGGUUUGCUUUCACAACGAAAGGAACAUGCAGAAUUCCAGACUCGGCCGGCAGCGGCAGAGGCAGAGGCCGAAAGCAGCCACCUGCAGGAUGUGCAGUUACCUCAAGAGUGGACGUAUUAAAUGAUCGUCUUGGGCGGGCUGGAAGGUGUCAAGAGAUUGUUGAUGAAGACAAAAUAAGUUAUUGCAAAUAAAAUACUAAAAGAAAGGGUUUGGACUUUCUUGGUUCAAAUAAAUGAUAUGCCAAGAAUCUGCAGGAAGCCUUGCAAUAAUAAUAAUAUAAUACUAGUAGCAGUAGUAGUAGCUAUUGAGCUGAGAAUUGUGUCGCUCUCAGCACUUGCCCUCUGCUAAAGGUGGUGGAGGCCGGGCGGGAUUGUCAAAAUUGGUUGACGGAAUAAGAAGGAAUCAAUAAUAACAUAUAUAUUUGUUUGUGUUAUAGAAACGAAUAAUUGAGAUGGGAGUGCGUUUGUAGGUUUGCUGGCUAAGCGCAGUAAUGUGAUUGGAUAGGAGGGUGACUCUUUGUUGAAUUCCUGUGUAAAAAAGAACUGGCUGUCCUUAUGCUAUAAGAAGAUGUUCCCGUGAAUAUUCAAAAGGAGAAGCUACUUUGGUUGGUUCAUUACGUUAUUAUUAUUGUUAUAUUUUUUUUUUGGUUGCCUACCACGAUGUCCAGGGCUGUAUGUCCAGGACAUCCAGGGCUGUUCGUUAAUAUAUAUAUUAACACUUGAUAAUAUAAGGAUUAUGUACGAAAGGGGCAACAGCCCUUGCAUCUAUCCUAUUUGCUUCUAUCAACAUACUUGGGAAGUCAUUUAUUCAAUCUAUAUCAUUAACUAGUUUUGAUGCAAAAAGUACUAGCCUAUGACUUGCUAUAUUAGAUGUUCUUUUCACUCCGCUGCUUUUUUUUUUUUGGCCCAACUGUUGUAGACAAAGAUAUUUGUAGUCGGUUGUGUAACCCUUUCAUGUUUUAUUUAUGGGGUGGAUGAUAGGAAUUGGGUGGAAGCGGAAUAGAAAUCCUAUCUACUUGGUUCUUGCUUAGUUAAGCAGAAAUCCAUGUCCAUACGUAUUUCUGAAGUAAAAGUAGAUGCCGGUUGAUAAAGAAAUUCUUGAUCAUCAGCUAAUAUGAAACUUGUGAUUUGUAAUAAAACACCGAUUCGAAUACAAGCGUGCAGAUGUAAAACGCUUUUCAAUCCUUAGACCUGGGAGAAAGAUCUUAUAGUAAAUCUUUCAUAUGGACUGCGUUGACGAAUGGGACUAGUAGUUCCGUGUGAAAGCGCUCAUUGCAGCCGACAGAGGGACUACGAAAGCACUUUUUGACUGUUCGAUAUUACACACACCCACUUGAUUCUUGGAUGGCAGGUAUACGGCUGCAAACGUCAAAAUCAACUCAUCGAGUGGUGGUCGUGCCAGCAGCAAUAGCACCCAAAACCUCCACUCCUCACUCUCCACAUAAUGAUAAUGGAUAGAGAGAUUAUUAGCGUUGCAAUGCCCCCAUCUAUCUGCCUGUGGAGGGCGUAGACAGCACCCCAAUCUAGUCGCAUCCAAAGUACUCCUCCGUCAUGAUGGUGCGGAAAUGGAAUAAUAGAAGUGUGCGGCGGGGAAAUCGGCCGGGGGAUGGCCUACAUGGGCCGGCCAACCACCGCCGAAAUGAUCUCAAUAAAUAUUCCAUCUACGUCACUAUUCCAUCUUUCUGAUCCUGCGCUAGCUGGAGCAGGAACAGAUGUGAGAGACAGGGACAUUUCUCUCUCUGAAACAUGCAUAAAAGUCGUAAUGCUUGUGUGUCAGUGUCAGCAGUAUAAGAGUCGAAACAAGGAUUCUUUUCAGAAGAAUUGAACUUGGUUUUGUAUUAGGCAACUUUCCUCAAUUAGUAUCAAGCAUGAUUUCUCUGUGGAACAAUACAUGUAUAUCCAGGCGUAUAAAAUACAUACACACCAUCGAAAUGCACAAUUUUCGUGCUGUGUGAAAUUUGAGUUGACGAAUUUUCAGACCUCUGGCGACCAAGUAAUGUAUCGUGUUGGUCAGAAAGGGGAAAAACACAACGUCAAAUCAUCCGCAAAUUAUCUAUCGCCUUUGAUGUUUUCCUUUAUUUUUUGUUCAAAUACAAAAAGGUCAGAAAUAUAUAUAUAUGUUAUCAGCUUUCUCAUUUUUUAAAGCAGAAUUGCUUCUGGACAUGAUCGCAGUAGGUGAGAGCGAUUAGAAAAGUCAAACGGAUGAAUUGUCCGAUUACACGCUAUGAUUAGGGGUGUUCGGUAAUCGGGGGAAUACGCUAAAGAAAACAUUUUGGUAAUUUGGAAAUCAAUUUUUUUAAUAUUUAUCAUCCAAACUUUAGUUUGAUAAUUUAGAUUAGAGAACUGGUGAUUCAGGAAUAUUCGAAAUUCGAAAUGUCAACAGUUAGUUAAAUUUUCUUAAGAAAUUAUUCAAUCAACUUAACUCGAACAAACAUGAUAUGCAAAAAAAAAAAAAAAAAAGGGUUUGUAAUCCAAAGUCCUAGCUCGUAGUCUUAAUUCUUAAACAAAAUUGAAGUAAACAAGAAUUUGAAAUUUAAUUGUCAAACUAAACUCUAUCAUGUCAAUUUUCAUCAAAAUUUGACUUUCAAAUAUAGUUAUAGUUAAGUAAGCUAAUUAGUAUUUAGUAAUACGAUUAAGAGUUACUCUUAUAUUUAGUAAUAUAUAUAUAUAUAUAACAUUAUAUUAUAAAAUUUUUUGAUAAUUCGACAGGUAAUCGGUAAUUCGAUAAUGUAUUGUUAACGUCUAUUCCCGAAUCGUUAAUUCGGGGAAAUUAUAUUUUGAUUUUUUUGAAUUCCGUUUUAUCGAUAUUCGAAAUUCGAUCUAGAUUGGAUCAGCCAAUUAUUUAUUUAUUUUUUAAAUAUGAACACCCCUAGUUAUGAAUCCACUGUAGUUAAAUUAUGCCGAAAGGAGUUUUCAAUUUUCCUAGUCUUUUUUCAAAUGUGAUGCACUGAUCCAUCACAUUUGGACUUGAUUUCCCACCGGUGAAAUAAUAUACAUGGCACCGCCUUAAAGCGACUUUUAUUGGAUAACCCGUAUCAAUCAUUUAGCGUGGGAUCUAACACUCGUGAAUGUUAUUUCCUUUAAGCACGUCAUGAUUCUUAUUUUUUAUUUCAUUGGCGGGUCAAGUUUAAAUUUUACUCCGCGUUGAAAAUUGAAAUUUUCAACAGUGACUAUCCCCUAAAAGCACGUGUCCUAGAUGGAUUUAUACCUUUGUAGUAUGUAUCCUGUCGUUAAUUAAAGUUGAAGCACCGAAGAUUUGUUUUCAGUGGUGGUAGUUCAGCACUCUAUUGCUCCAAUUUCUGCUAAUCAUAUGGUCAUUCAACAAACUGAUUUGGGGGGAGAAAAAUGCUGUAGCACAUAUUCUGCACGAGCAAGCAACAGACUGAUUUGUAAGGUUAAAAUCUUAACUCCCAUCACUCGCCACUAUAUAUGACUUGUCACUUUAAAUGACUUCUUCUAAAUCCGUGCGAGUGCGUAAUGCACCCGUAUGGUGCGAUCGUAGUUCAAUCCCCAUCAGUACUCUAACAGACCAGUCGGGUCCUUUCUUGAAAUACGUUCAAGUAGAAAUAAAAGUAAGUAUAGGUUAGAUAAGUAACGACUGAUAAAAAAAAAAAUAAAAUGCAGAAGAUUACAUCAUGCACGAACGCACGUGAGUCUCUUUAUUAUGGGGAGAAAAUGAAAGCAUCCCGAACAAGAUUUUGUGUUUCAAGAUUUGAAGAUGAAUAUAAGCGAAUUUGCUUGUCACACUAAUCAGCCUACAAUUAUAUGAAAGGGUAGUUGACUUUUAUAUCAUGGAAAAGGAAAACGUAUUCAAGUUGUCUCAGCACAAAAAAUUAUCACCGAAUCUUUUUGUUUUUUCUAGUUCAUUUUGUCAACCAAAUUUUUAAGCAUGAUUUUGGACAACUGCUGAAUAUCAAAUUAGUCGGAAUGACGUUAGCUUUUUGUGGGCUAGCAUCAGAGAUACACAAAUGGAAGGACGUUGGCGUGUACGCCUAUCAAUCAUGGCAGCAAUUCUUGGACAAAAUCUGGGCUUUGUGUCUUGGAAUGUGGGCUUUUUGCUUGCAGUGUGCCCAAAAUGGCUAAGGUAAGUUUGAUCCGCAGUGAAUUGUCGGAUCUGGACCAGCUUUUGAUAUUACUACCCAAGUAUCUACUUAACCUUAUUUUUUUAAAAAAUUAAAAAUAAAAUAAAUUUUAGUCUGAUCUUUAGUUAGUAUGCUCUCUGUUGGGAUCCUUCAGUUUUUUAAAUAUUAUAAAAUUUUUUUAAAAAUACUCUAAAAUAUACUCUCAAAAGUAGUCUAAAUUUUUUUUAAGUUUAAAAAAAUUUCAAAAUAUAUUUAAAAAACUCUACUACUCUUAAAUAUUUCAAAAAUUUUUUAAAAAAUAUCCAAAAAUAUACUAUAAAAACUCCGUUACAAUAAAUUUUUUUUAAAAAUACCCCAAAAGAUAGCUAAUCCAAACGGAGUGUUACGCGAUGAAAAUGUUACACACAGAACUUUUAGUGGCAUUUGUUUAGGAAUCGUCGAUGCUUGAAAAUAUAGGAAAUCUCAAUAAGCAAGCAAGGCAGAGAUUCAUGCGUCUUUUAUGAGUAUUACCUUCAUGUGCACGCGAUUAUUAUUUGUUGAAUCUCUUACCGAUGGUUUGGUUUGUUGGAGAGUUUUAUCAUAGCGUUUGGGUCUCGAGUAGAGAGAGUAGAGGUUGUAUGAAUUUUUGUGUGGGCAACAAUCGGAAAUUAGUGCACCUAUCCGGUGCGAUGGUGAUUUAAUCCUCACCGGCCCCUAGAUCCAGUUGGGUCUCUCCCUUAUAUUAGAAUAAUGUAGCAUACUAUAAAUAAAAGUAACGAUUGACAAAAAAAAAAAAAAAAAAUCGGACAUUCGUUCACACGGCUCAUCUAAAUAAAUCAAGUAAUGCUACUAGUGCUAUUAUUGGCAUAACUCUUAGUAAUCAUGGAUUAAAUUCCAUUCCGUUGUGCUAAGUGACCCUUUCUGUACAGCUAUUAUAAUUUGGACCUUUUUUGUAUUGUUUUAUGGAGUAACUACUUGCACAUUAUAUAUAUCUAGAAAAUGAGGCCAAUUUUGAACCAUAUUUCAAUACUCAAUUGGUUUAUCUAGAAAAUGGAAUUGGAUUGCAAUCAGUGUUACAACCGUGACGUGCGAUUAACUUCAAAACAAAUUUGACUUUAAAAAAAAAAAAUAAUUCAGAGUUCAAAAUAUGACUGCUACUGUAAUUAUCAUAUCAUUCUUGGAAAAAAAACACACACACACACACACACACACACUCACUCGUCUCAUCCUUCCGAAAACAUGAAAUCCUCAGCAACUCAAGGGAGGAAGAUCGGACGUCUUGCCAGUCCCGGAUGACGGAUUAAAUGCCCUGCUCCCGAAAAAGAAAAACCCUAAAGCGUGACCGGCAACAGCCACAAGAAACACACCUGCAUUAAAACUCAUCACUGCCAACAUCACCAUAUAAGCCAGCCCAAUCCUGAUUCCGUACAUCAGCGUCUGAACCAGCCCGGCGGCGACGUUGUUGUUAGAACUUUCUUUGAUGAAUUUGCAGGCGGAGAGCCACUCAACCACCACAGUAAGAACGAAAACAAUCACAAGGGCUAAGACGUACAUGCCCAAAUUGUCGUAUCCCGGCCAACCCGAAAAGAGGAUCUCAGCAUUUUUCCCCCAGAAGAAAGUCAUGUGCAUCAUCAUAUGCCGAUGGGGCAUCAUCGACAUCCCUCCUCCUCCUCCUCCUCCGGUGCCGUUGUUCAUAGCUCCCACCCCAUGCAUAUGGCUACCAUCGUUCAUUCCGGCCAUCAUUCGAGUGUUUUUCUUCUUUUCUUUUCUACUUCGAGAUUUGGAAAGUCUGAAACAGAACUGUCUGGCCUCAAUUUUCCACUUAAAUAGUUUGUUAGCAAUAGUAGUAGGUUGUUACGGUACUCUUCAGAAUUUUGCAGUACAACGUAGUAAAAUUAUUGUAGUACAAAAGACGGAGCUGGGCAGGACAUUUUUCGUUUCUAUCGUACAGCCAAACGAUUUGGAAUGUGUACCAUAAAUAGAUAGGGUUGACGUCUGGGGUCUAGGCGUACGGUGAUAAAUUACUUCUUACUAUUUAUAAAAAAAAUAAAAAAAAAAAAACCGGUUGCAGAUGGGAUUUCUUGAAAGUCUAAAUACAAAUAAAAUGUUCCUAUAUUGGUAUGUGUAAUUCUUAAAUGCGUUCAUUAUCCUUGCUUUGGAUUGCAGAACCCAUACAGAAGAUAGUAAAAUGACAUUCUUACACACAAAUUGGUUAUUUUGAUUUUGCUUUUGAAAAGUAUCGAGAAGGCGCAAAGUCUCUUCUUCUGUCUAUCAAAUCUAAAUAUCCAAUUUCAAUUCUUUUUCUUGUCUUUUUAAGUUCCAAAAUUACUUGCAAGGUGACAAGCUAAUAUUCCUGUUUCUUAUUGAUGUAGCCUAAAUAAGUGGUUCUUUAGCAUUAAGGAGUAAUAAUAAGUAACAAGCUGGAAUAUUUGCUUUUUAUGAGAUCAUUGGUGCUAUUAGUACUCCAUUUCUCAUGCUAAAUCCAAAAUUACGUUUUUCUUGAUUUUCCAUCAAUAUACAUAUGGGAAUAUUCCAUUAACUAAUAUCGUAGUAUUUAGCUAAUAUCGUCGGGUGAUUAUCGUACCAUAACAGGAAUUGCCACAACUCUCGAAGCAAGAAAUAACAACCAACCCACCACCGUAAGGGGUAUUGCCAUAACUCUUCAAGCAAGAAAUAUCAACUACCUACCAUACAUAUAAGGGAUAGUUUCAGAAAUCUCCGUUGGGGUUUAUGACAAUUUCACUCAGCACCCCUUAUGUUUUGAAAUCAUAGAUACCUCCCCUAUUUUUGUUGUUUGGAUAGCAAAACAUCAUAAAUAGCAGCAAUUUUAAACAAAAAUACCCAAUUUGCACUUGUGCUGAAUAAAGAAAGAGAAUAAUAAAACAAACUAUUGUAAUGCCUUUUGUUCAAGUCCAUCACUAGCAUCACCACACAACACCAAUAAUGCUAGCUUUGUUGCUACUACAAUAAUCACGAACUACCAACUAACAACCAAAUAUUUAGGAAAGAAAAAAAGCAUAAUUUUAAAAAUGUAAGGAAAGUAUUGACAUAGACUUUUUUCUUCUUUUAAAGCAAAAAUUAACUUUUUCAUUAGUCAGAAAAGAACAUUAUGCAAGGGUGGAAGGUGGCUUGAAGUACAUUAAGGGACACUAUUACAAAGCACAAAUAGAAAAAGAAAGAAAGAAAAAUGCUUGAAGAGAAUGUGACUUGUGUUUGGUUUUGUUUUUCUUUAAUUUUCUUAGGCCCUCUAAAUUGCUAUGUAAGUUGAGUCUUAAAGUAGGGCUAAUAUGGUCAUUUUAUAGUGACAAGGAAGGUAAGUAUGGUAUUCCAUACAAUUAGGGUGCUAAGUGCCUAGUCAUAAUUAAGUCUUCGCAGAGCUUUUCUAAAUUAUCCCCAAAUAUAAUAGGGAUUGCCAUCAAUUCUUCAAUCAAGAAACAUUGACACUGUCUCAGAAGCGAAUCAACAGGAAAGGGGGUUACACAAAUGCUUCUCCACAAGAAAACCAAAAGGGUGAUUCAAGAUCAACCCUUAAAAAAAUACAAGAAAACUCGCAACAAUUGGAACUUUUGAUUAACAAUUGAUAAACAGAAUUAAUACAAAGGAUCUUAGAUAUGCUCAUUUAUAGGUUUUAAUAGUCUAAGCUAAUGAAAAACAAAAAUCAGGUGAAAACCCUAAAACGAACUAAAAAUCAGCGUGAAUCGAGUCAAUGGCCUUGCCUUUCCUCUGAUGCUGAUCCAGUGCGUUUUCGUUCAUAUAUUCCCUUGUCGACACUACAAUUACAAUUAAUAAUAGUAAAAUUAAAUAAAAAAAAUGACAAAAAUGACUACGACUAUCCAAAUUAAAUAAGAAUCCUUUUGACUUCUUGGACAAUUUUAUUGACACGAACGAUAGGUUCCUUCUUCUCUAAUCAAAUGCUAUUGGUUACUGGGGUAAAAAGGAAGAAAGAAAGAAAGAAAGAAAGAAAAGAGAGACAGAGUCCGCGUAGAUGAAAGAGUAUAUAGCGACAGCUCGUAGCCUACCUACCAGUGACUUCCUUCUCCCCUUUUCCAUUUCUAGCUCCUUCCUUCUUCCUCCUACCGCCUGUGCUGUGCUGUGCACUCCCUCAUGUUUCUCAAGGCUUUCAUGGACAAGGAAACAUAUUGCUUUUGGCUUUUACUAGUGAAGUUAGUUCUCACAUGUUUCAGUGAGUUACCACUAGAUAAAUACUACUAUCCUGUCAAUUAAUUAAGCGCUAAUAUCAGGUGUUAAAAGAGUCUCAUCUUCUCAGGUGUUUAAAGAAAACUAAACUACAGGAUCAUUUUCAGAAAGAAACCAAUCUACAAGAUCAAUACCAGCAUUACCGAACGCGUUAUUUUGGACGACAAAUAACUUGUGCACAUGAAAAUUUCGCUUAGCAUCACUAUACAAUUGCUAGGAGACAAAUGAACAGAGCCCAUUUUUAUCUAAGCUAGAAGCCUAGAAAUGGGAUGGAAUCUCGCGUUCUCCGGAUAAUUUAGCAGUUGAGGGGAGGAAGAUCAGCGGGCUUGUGAUAUGGUGCCGUGCCCGAUUCAUCAAACACUAGGCUGCCAAAGAUCAAGAAACCAAGAGAGUAUCCGCCAACAGCCGCCACAAAUACUCCUACAUCGAAAGACAUGACCUUGAGCAUCACCAUGUAGGCCAAAGCUAUCCGGAUGCUAUACAGUCCACUCUGCAUCAGCCCAGCAACAACGUUGCUGUUCUUGUCUGAGUUUAUAAGUCGCGUAUGAGAUAGCCAUUCAACUAGGAUUGACAUCGCAAACACCGCAAGCAAAUGGAGUACGUAGACAACGAUACUUUCCCAGUUCUCUCCAUGAAAAAAUGUCAUGUGUGUCUCCAUUUUUCUGCUCCCCACCUCAAAAUUUUUUCCUUGGUGUUAUCUCAAUUAGUGUCCUCACAACCGAGAUGAUUAACAGUCGAAUUAUACAUGGACAGAUGCAUCGUUCGCUCCUUUAUAGUAAUCUCUGUUGUUGGAGUGGACUGCAAUGAUAGUACAUGCUGGUCGUGCUGCUGAAUCAUUACUUUUGUACUAGCAAAAUGUCCGCAAGCUGUACGAUCAACUCGGAGAUGGCGGAACGGAACGAGAACGAAAAAGGGUAAAGCUGUCAAUCGCUAUCGGAGUCGGACUUUAAUAACAUCCCGUGCGACGCCAGUAUAUGUGAAAGUUAUCCUUAACUCGCGAUAUAUUCGGUUAUGAGUUUAAUUUGGAUUUACUCUAUCUAAAUUCACUUAUUACUCUUUAAUUUUUUUAAUAUAAUUACUAGAAUCAUUUAGUAGUAAAGUUAAUUUGAAAAUUACAAUAUUAAAACUACACAUAAAGCUUUAAAAAGUUCAUUAAAACACAUAAAGCAAAAAUUUUUCAACAAUGAUUGUAUCUGAUUCUUUUAAAAUACAUAAAAAAUAAUAAUAAAACAUGAAAAACAUAUUUAUUUAAUGAAUCUAAGUCUCUUUCUACUAAAUACUAAUAGUCUCAUUAUACAUUACAUAUUUCAAAAUAAUACAUUUAUAGUAAUAUAUAUUAGGGUGCAUAUAUAUAUAUAUAAUACAUAUAUACACGUAUAAUAAUAAUAAAUGUGAGCCGAGUUUGAUCUUCCAUAGGCUCAGCUGGAUUAAAGCCCGUCCAUUAUUACUUUUUUUUUUCCGCGCCUAUGAAAUUGACUUUGGGGACUCAAUAAUUAUGUUAUUUCUUGGAUAUUAAUUAUGAAAAUAGGUAGGUUGUUGACCUGGCCACCAACCACUUUGAACAAAGGUUCGUUGAGAUGGGAGCUAGUUUCAUUAAUAUUGUGAUUGAAGUGCGAUUAGCAGUUUUUAGAUGUUGUACUACACGCUAUUAAUCGUAUUGUGGUACGAGCAAUGAGUUUUGUUGUUAUAAUUAUGAACGUGAUGUGAUAAUUUCGACAAGGUUCCUCCUAUUUUGUCGAGGAGCAAGUUUUUUAUUACUCCCACGUUGUAUUUUGAUAGUCUUGUUUUUUUUUCACACAAUUUUAAAAAAAAUAAUUAAUUUUAUUAAAAAAUAAAUUUAAAUUGCUAUUUUUCUAAAAUACCCUCACAGUAAAUAGAGUACAAUUUUAUGAAAACUUGAAUGGAUGAUAAAAAAAAAUCAACUCUCAUUAAAGGUAUUUUAAAAAAAUUAAAAUACAACUACAUUCUUCAAUUGGAAAGUGAAUUAUAAUUUGGGACAGAUAAAAAAGAAAAAUAGAACUAUCAAAGUGGGACGGAGGGAGUAUUAAUUUUCCAUGGAAAGGAGGGAAAUGGCAUGACAGGGGCGCGUGCACUGCACACCCUCCAGCCUAACUAAUUGAAUUGAAAAACAAAACAAAAAGCAAUUUUCAUUUGUUUACCAAAAAGGCUUUCCAAAACGCUGCUAUUAAUAUUCUUUUCUGCAGAAUUGUUCUUCUCUACGCCCAUACAUGCACAGCACCAGCUUCGGGAGCUGAAACCGGCUUUUGUAAGAGCAUCAGUCAAAAAUCAAUCAAUCAAUCAAUCGAUAGCUCAUUUGCAACGGUCUUCGUCCUUUAAUUUAUUCGCAACCAAGAAGGAAGGGCAAAGAAAUGUCUCUGAUUCGGUAACCGAGUCGACCCCUUCUCCCAAGUCCUCUGCCCAUAUUAAUUGAUUGGAACGAAACGCCAGAAGCCCGCGUCAUUGAGAGGCUGACCUUCCGGGGGCUAAAAAAAGGAAGAAGCGAAAGUUGAAGUGGAAGAAGGCAGAGUCCUUCAGAUUAGUGGAGAAAGAAAUGCGGGGAGGGAAGACAAGAAAGACAAUAAGUGGCACCGCGCCGAAAGAAGCAGCGGGGGAAGUUCUUGAGAAGGAUCAGGCCGCCGCCGCCCUGGAUAAAUCUACUUUCUUAGUGGUACGUCUUCCAAGAUAAACUGCGAAUUUCAGAAUAGAGGGCACCACAUUGAUUUACGACGUUGAUAACAACAUCCGCUCACUGCCAUAAUAACGUGACGUCCACAUUGAUUUUGGAUCCAAGAGUGACAGAAGAGGGAACAAACGAGUAAACCGGAAGCAGGACUAAAACAAUCUCCGAAGUCCAAUUUCCAUGGACAUUAGCCGUCUAAAUUCUAUAGUUUACUUGAAAUAUACUUCCAAAACGCUUAGGUGACAUCGUUUGCCAAUUGUCAAUUAUGCGAAAUUCUUCAUCCAAACAAACAACUUUGUCACAGUUGGCAUGGACCAUGACGACAACUUCCAAGUCAUUGCAUUUCUCCUACGAUUGACAAAUCUAUAUGAUGGGGGUAAAAACUGCAAGAAGGGAAGCAGAUAAUUCAUCAGACCAAGAAUAAAAUUGGCGGAGGGCAACAGAGACGAUGGCAACACUUAGAGAUCAAAGGCGAAGCGUGGUAUUGGUCCCGUAUCCAUACCAGGGGCACAUCACACCAAUGCUGCAGUUGGGGCAAAUUCUUCAUUCUGGAGGGUUCUCUGUCAUAGUUGCACACACUAAAUUCAAUUCUCCCAAUCCUUUGAACCAUCCCGAAUUCUUCUUUUUACCAUUGAAGGACAAUUUAUCUGGCUUUGAUACUUCUUUUGGUAAUACAUUAGCCGUUAUCAGAGCCAUAAAUGAAAACUGCAGAGCUCCUCUACAAGGUUCUCUGGCUCAGAUGAUGAAAGAUCAGGAGAAGCAUGGCCAGGUCUGUUGUAUCAUUCAUGAUGCCAUCAUGCACUUCGGCCGCUCUGUGGCGAAUCAUUUGAAUAUAUCCAGCUUGGUCUUAGGAACCUGCAGUGCUCUUUAUAUGCAAGUUUAUCCUUCCAUUCUUCAACUUCAGUCAGAACAUUAUUUUCCCUUGCAAGGUAAACUCAUGCUAUUUUUCAACUUUAGCUUGCUUCUUUAAACCAUUAGUAAUGCACUUAAUUGUAGCACGGUGCUCCUAAAUUUUUGCUGCUAUUUGUCUCCAACUUUCGUUGCAUGUGUCAUGCCCUGGAAAGUUCCAUGAUCCUUAUAUCAUAACUAUUACUUCCUGUGUUAGUUUCAAGCAUCAGUCAUUAAUAUGAUACCUUGACACCAAACUUGUUGCAGAUUCUAAGAUGCUGGAACCUGUACGUGGGCUCGGCACUCUUCGAUUUAAGGAUUUUGCAAUACCCGCUAAUAUUGAAAUACCACAGCCAUUGCUGAAAUUCUAUGAAGAUACAAGCAAUUUGGGAUCCUCUGUUGGCAUCAUCUUGAACACAACAGAGGAGCUGGAUCCUAUGUCACUAUCACAGCUUAAGCAAUAUUACAAAGUUCCCUUAUUCACAAUAGGUCCUUUCCACAAAAUGGCUCCAACCUCAUCAUCAAGUAGCUUCUUAAAAGAAGACAGGAGUUGCAUGGCUUGGCUUGACAAGCAAGCUCCUCAGUCAGUCCUCUACCUAAGCUUGGGCAGUCUAGCGAGCAUAGAAGCAAAAGAGCUAGAGGAGACAGCUUGGGGACUAGCCAAUAGCGGCCAACCAUUCUUGUGGGUUGUUCGGCCAUCUUCUGUCAAUGGCUCAGAAUGGAUUGAGCAGUUACCGAAAGGUUUUCAAGAUGCAGUGUUAGAAAGAGGUCACAUAGUUCAAUGGGCACCUCAAAAAGAAGUUCUCGCACAUUCUGCUGUGGGCGGAUUUUUCAGUCACUGUGGAUGGAAUUCAAUACUGGAGAGUCUUUGUGAAGCAGUUCCAAUGAUUUGCAGACCCUGUUUCGCAGACCAAUUGGCAAAUGCAAGGUACCUAACUCAUGUUUGGAAGGUAGGCUUGGAACUAGAGGUGGUGGAAGACAGAGGAGUCAUAGAGAGAGCCAUAAAGAGACUGAUGGUCGAAAAUGAAGGCAAGGAAAUGAGGCAGAGAGCGGCGGACAUGAAACAAAAACUGGAUAUCUCGACAAAUAAAGGUGGUUCAUCACACAAGUCCUUGAGUGACUUGAUAGAUUUCAUCAACUCAUUUGCUAGGUGAAAAGUUUGUUCUAAGAAUCUAAGGCAGGCAUUGUUGGUACUUUGAAUACCAUCUCAUCCAGAAUCAAACCAUACUAAUUCUGAUACAUAAUAAAGAAUACCUCCAGUAUUUGAUCCGGUUCAUCAAAUCUUGUGUAGUUACAUUCUACAAGCCUGCAUCAUCAUCAAAGCAAUACAAAAUAAAAUUUUUUUUUUUAUUGAAAAGAGCAAUACAAACUUAAAUAAAGAAAUCUCAUAAAGAAUGCUUCCACUAACUCCAAUUAUCAAAAAUCAGUUAUCAUAACCCAAGUAAUACGAAUCAAAUGAAUAGACCUCACAGGUUCACCUCGUUAUCAUGGCCCCACAGGUUCCACACAUCAGUGCAACAAGUCUUUGGCAAAUCAUUGUGCUAUUAAUCACUCCCAAAUCCAACACACGAAUAAAAGAAAGCUGAAAGAAUUCAAACACGAAUUGCACUCAAGGAAAAACAUUUUAUUCACAAAACACAGAAUACAUACUUUAGUUCACAGUACGAUAGUAACAGUAGCCAUCCCAACAGACGCUCUCACAUACCAAGGCAAUUCAUCAAACAUAAACCGCUCUUAACUCUACAUUUAUUGCAUAACUAAACAAUUACUACCAAAUCAUUAGUUAACCAGAAAUCUGAAUGGCUCUGACAUCAGUCUUCUUGGCCUCUUCUUUGGGGAUGGUGAUGGUAAGGACCCCAUUCUCCAUGGCAGCUUUGAUCUGAUCCAUCUUGGCAUUUUCGGGCAGCCUGAACCUCCUCAUGAAUUGGCCGCUGCUGCGUUCCACCCGGUGCCAAGUGUCAUUCUUGUCUUCCUUCUCCACGUUCCUUUCGCCCCUUAUCUGCAAAACUCUGUCGUCCUCGACCUCAACCUUAACUUCCUCUUUCUUAAUCCCGGGGAGGUCCGCCUUGAACACGUGGGCUUCCGGGGUCUCCUUCCAGUCCACGCGGGCGUUCACAAAGGAUGAUGUCUCGCCGGCGAAGGACGAUGGGAGGGAGAUGUCCCUGAAGGGAUCCCAAACGUCCGAUGGGAAUGGGUCGAAGAUGCUGCUUCGUCGGUUGCCAAAGAAGCUUGGAAUGAGCGACAUUUUCAAUAGGAUUGGAAAUUGAAGAGCUUGUUGGAGAAUUGAAGGAGACGGAUGCUGUUUGCUUGCUGUUGCACUAGGACUCAGCUAUCGUAUUUCGUUGAUGGAGGAAGGGAGCGAGACGAUGGGCUAUUUAUUCUGUUCGACGAGGAGUUCUCGGGUGCUUUCUGGAUAUUUCCAGGCUUCACUCGUUUGGAUCGGAAGCUUGCAGAAGUGAAAAGAACUCUCUAGGCUUCACUCGCUUUAAGUGGAUGGGCUGAGUGUUUUAUUUUUAUGAGCAGUAUGGAGGACAUGAGUCACAUCAGGCCUAUUAUUUUUUGAGUUUUGUUUUGACUUAGCACAGCCCAUCUCAGAAAACCCAAUGGACAGUGGGUCAUUAAGUUGGGCCUUUAGUGGAGUAAUUGUCACUUGUUAAGCAAACUCAAUAGUCAGCCAACUUCAAAUUUUACUUACAAAAAAGGAAAAAUUUUCUUUUGAUCGAAAGCUAUCUUGACAAUAAUAAAGCCUCUGUAGGUAGUUAACAUCGUAUUAACUUUAUGCCGUCUUCAAAUUUACCCUUAUCUCUAUUAUCAAUUUCUAUUAUCCAUUAAACAUCUUUUAUCACUUUUUAAAUUUUCAUUUUUAUCCUUACUGUCCAAUUAUAUAUAACCAACAUAAUAAUUUUAGUUGCAACUAUCAAUAGCUUUAAAUAUCCAAACUUGUUAUUAUAUUAAAAAAAAAAGUUUAAUUACCAAACUAACUACUACCAAUUAACAUAACUACCAAAAUAACCAUCAAUUCAUUAAAAAAAAUUCCAUAAAAAUUAAUUUAUCCUUAAAUUGCACACGCACACAUGGGGUGUGCCUUUCGCACUAGUACCUACAAUUAGGCAGCAUCAUCUAUAAAAGAUUUUGGUGCAUGGUAAUCGGAUACACAAAUUUUACAAUUCAGAAGAUGUUCUGUGCCCCACUCCUUUAAAAAGAUGUUGUGUGCACCGAUCAUCACAUCUGCACUCAGGAAAAAGCCGAUUUCAUUUCAUUUUCUUUUUAGGAAAGCAGAUUUCAUAUGAUAUGAUGAACCAUUUCCCGUUGCGGAAUCCUUCUCACAAGGACAAACGCCGCUGGCCAUUGGCACAAAUGCUACAAUUUUGUAUGCUCUUUAUAGGAGGAAUGGAAUUGUUAUACCAAUCAAAUCAUCAUAGCUGUUGCCACGAGGAUCUGCUCUCAUAAUUUGGAUAGCACUUACGUUCAUAUGAUUAGGGGUAAUGAAAAGCUAAAUUAAGAAGAAAUGUUUUUAAAAAAGAGAGAUCCUGCCAUCAUUGAGCGGAGGGAAACUAGGCUUAGCUACGUCGUGUUUGUUUAAUCAGAUUUAACAGGAUGGACACUGGAUUUUUUUCAAUGCUCUGACCAAUCUUGCAGGUUGUAACUUUCUUCCCUAUGCCAAUCCUGAUUUCUUUAGAUUUUCUCCAUGAGAGAAAUACAGAAGCAUGCAAGAGCAAAAACCACAAGAGAGCAAGGGCAUUCUAGAUAACGCAGACGCAGAGAGGACUAAAAGUAAAUAUUGAACACAAACACAGUCGCGUGGAAGAGGAGAUAAAAAUUGGACACUAUAACAUCUCAGAGGAGAUUUUGCAGCGUAGAAAGUGGUGGCGACUGCAAAAGUCAAGAAAAGGACUGCUGCCAGUCUUAUAAUUGUUCAAGCAAGGAGAAUUGUGUCUCCCGCUGUUGAUUGAUUGCACCCAAAAACUCCCUGAACUUACUACUGUUACCACCUUUUCAGCUGAUUACUGACCAUGGACAUGGUUGUGGAUCUCCCUGCAUUCGGGACAAAUUUUGCAGGCCUUCAACAAGAAGAAGCAAUAUGUUUUUAAACCCGGAACAGAGAGUGAUUCGAAAAGCCUUUCUGUUCACGGUUCGAUCAGUUCAUCGGUUCGACUCCAGUUCAAAUAUUUAAUAAAUUUUAUUCAUUUUUGUAUUAAAAUUUUUGAAUAAAACUAAAAUAAAUACUUAAUAAAAAUUGGUUGAACCUUCCAAUUUUUGUCGGUUCAACUGGUUUUUGACCGGUUCAAUCAAUUAUUUGAGUUUUUAAUUGAAUUAGACCGGAGGCAUGACCGGUUUGCGGUUCAAUCGAUCGAACCGUCCGGUCCGAUCCGAUCUUUCAAAACAUUGACAAGAAGAGGAUUGAGAAUUUUUUAUCAAUCAAAAUCAGCACCUUGAGGGGCCAAAUCCUUUUGGAACUGGAAAAAAAAAAAAAGAAAAAGACUAUAAUUAUUGUUUGAACCUCUCAAUUAUCAUUGGUUUUCACUUUGUACUCUAAAUUCUCAAUUUUAACACUUUUAUGCGGGAUGCCAUCAAAGUUGUGAUCCUAUGAAUUUUUUCUUGCUAUUCUUUUAUUGUUAAAACCCCUAAAACUUGCAUGCAUUUACUGAAAUUCUGCGGCUCCUUUUAGGUGCAGUGGGACAUCCUUUUUAUUCAAGCAUAAGUAUCAAAAUUAAUUGAUUCCCAAUCCAUCUAUCUAAGCAGCGUGCUACAGAUUGAUCAUAUGAAGUACUUAUAAUGAAUUUGUGAUUGAACAUUGCUACAACAGAGAUUGGAAAGAUUUCAUCAUUUUUCGAACACAAAUGAUCGCUGAUAUUAGAAGCAAUAGUCCCCAGAAAGAGAAAAAAGCAUACGAAUUGUACGAGAAGUGAUUGGUCCAGUGCUCAACAAACCGUAAGAAUUUGGAUUGUCAGUUUGCUUCAAAAAAAUUUUAUGAUUUUCGUGAACUCAUUUCUUACUCAUCUAUUUAUCUUCCAUACAGCGAAUCGUUACGGUGCAUUAAAAAUAGUAAUUCAAAUGAAUCGUUAUAUUGUCAGCAUUUUUCAAAAUACUAUUGGUAGGCUAAAUUGGUAAGAAUUGUUUUUGUUCUAUUCAAGCAAAAAGAGAACAAAUCUUAUGACUGAUCCAAAUGCUAGAGCUUAGGCUAGGCCGAUCCCCCAAUCACCCAAUUUUACUCUAUCGUGAGACCAGCUCACUGCUGCUCUCAGGAAAUAUGGACAAAGGCCUUCACAGGUUCGUACAUACUAAAACUUCGUACAAUCAACUUUUGUUCGUACAUACCAAAUUAUUUGCUAUUGACAAAGGCCAGGUUCAUACAUGCUAAAACUUACAAGCAUUAGGGCCGGAGGUAGAUGGUACAUCUCAGGAAAUAUGGACAUCGACUAGACCAGACAAACAAAGCCAACCCAUGCUGAGAAAGAAACCACAUAAAAGCUUAAUGGUUGCCUGCUGGGGCCUGUGUAAGAUUCACAUCACACGGUUUCUGUAAAAAAGCUGCACUUUUUUGUUUUCAGGGAAAUUUUCAUGGGAUCCUCUCCUUUUCUUGUUCUUUUUAUGAUUUUGGACCUUUGUGGUUACCUUUGAAGCCUUUUAGGUGGCUGUGAAGUUGAGUUUGGUGGUGCAGCCUAAACGCGUUUCAGAAAUAGUCCUCAAUUGAACUUUAUCUAUUUGGCAGCAAGGAACACGCAUAUAUAUAUAUAUAUAUAUAUCAUUGGGCUCGUUUGGCAAAUAAAUUUUCUUGGCGUUUGUCUAAAAUUUUAUUAUAAUUUACUAUAAAAGUUAUAGGAAAAUUUUUUGAAUAUUUUAAAAUGUAUAGUUCAAAAAUUUUUAAAUUUUUUUAAAGUUACUAUAAUUAAAAUUAUCAAAAAAUUUAUAAUACAUAAAUUUGAUCAAAAAUUUGUUUGCCAAACAGGCUAUUUGAAGCCGAAAUAGUCAUUUUGUAAGCGAGUGGAGAUUUCAGAUUCCAUGUUUGAUUGAUUACACGGAGAAGAGGUAGCCAAUGCAAGAUCAUAUCGUUGUACUAAAAAGCGGACAAAGGUCCGCCUGCUAUUCGACUUGACCCAAAAACAAAUGGAAAGAGCAGAAAAUAAUCUACAGGGCGUUGAAAGUCAUGGAAAUGCUUAAGUAGCAAAUAUCUUUAAAAGAUUUUGGUGCAUGGGUAUCGGACAAACAAGUUUUUCACAGUUCUAGAAGAACUGUCCCAUGCUAUGUUUCGUAGCCGUAAUCAUGUCUGCAUCCAGAAAGCAGAUUUCAUAUUCAACUGCUGAAAUUGAAUGGCAGGAAUGACUUUUCACACGAAGGGAACCGGCGAAACACCCCAGAAAGCGCCGUGGCCAUUGGUACGAAUGCUACAAUUGUAUACUGCUAUUAAUAAUAAUGAAAUUGAACGACCAAUCUGUUCAGUGUAUGCUCUGGCCACCAAGAAUUGCAGGAUAUACUAUCAUAGUUUGGAUGGCAAUUGUGAUGGUAACUGGUAAACUAAGAGGCCGUUUGGAUUGCAUUUUCCGUCAUUUUUCAUGGAAAAAUUACUAUAGCGAUUUGAUGUAUGUGAGGGAAAAAUGUAAUAGGGAAAUGUGAUCACGGAAAAAAACACAAUUUUUCGGCGGAAAACCGCAAUCCAAACAAGGCUUAAAUUAAUCAGAACCCUUUUUUGUUUUUAUUUCCAUUGGAGCAAACAGAUAAAAAGCAUGUGACUGACUUGUGAUUGUGUGCAGUGCUAAAGUGGGGUGUUUUAGUCUUAUUUCUCACCCUGCACGGCCAGUAUUUUUUCUUUUUUGACGGGGGAUUCUGCCGCUGCUAAUCGACAGUGUGCACUAAUUACAUUCCAUCUCGUUCAAUAAUCCGUCAAUCAAUCACUUAACUAGACUUAGCCAGUAUACCAAUCACCUAACUAUGCCUCUACUUAUUCGUGCCGUCAAUGCAAAAGGUUAAAGGGAAUUAUCAUCUGUCUAUUUCUGCAUUGAUUGCUUCACAAUCAUGGUUCAAAGUCGCGGUCGCGGUCGCGGUCGCGGCUCGGAACGUUCCACAUCGGUCUCGGCAUAUCGGUCGCGGUCUCGGUGAGACGCAAAUUUUAAAGUAUUUAAUAUUUUAAAAAUUGUUAAUAAUAUAAAAAAAGUAUGUUAAACAAAAAUAAUAAAAAAUAGCAAAAGAAAUGGCCGAGUCAAUCCGUCACGGUGUAACUCGGCUAAUUUCUCGUCUUGACUCGAGAUAACUCGGAGUGACUCGGCCGAGUCAAUCCGUCGCGGUGACGUCUCGGCCGAUUUCUCGGCGAGUCAAGUAUUUCGGUAUCGUUUCGUCACGGUAUCGUAUCGGUAGGGGUCGAGACGGUGACGACUCGGCCGAGUCGUCUCGGCUUCGGCCGAGACUUCGAACCAUGUUCACAAUCAUUGGUAAACCUCCGAAUCACAUAUGAUUCCAACAUAUUGCAAUGGCGACUUCAAUUCUUUUUUUCUUCUUCUUGAAUCACGACGGCAUUAUUUAUUCGAAAUCGAAUGUUAACGUAUCAUAGACAAUUGAUUAGUCAGUGCACACCCCAAUUCAAUCAACCGACUAACCAAAAACCACUAAUCUACUUUGAAAGGUUAUUUACUUUUAGCAUUCUCUUGGCAAUUUUUCCACGAUAAAACAACUCUGGCUAGACCAAAAUAAACUGCAGAUUCCUACUUCAGUUGUUGGGAAUUAAUGGGCUCUCAGAACAAGAUUAGUCUAAAUCUUCAUUCUUUCUUUUUUCGGUUGUCUUUGUUUGAUAAUGCUGCAUUUAUCCCAUCCUCUACUUACCUUGUCAUUUUGCAAAGGAAAGUAGCUUUUCGUUCCACCAAAUGAAGUAGCAAGGAAUUCAAACUUUCAAUGAACGUGUGUUCACUGUCGCCUGUAUAGUUUAGUGUGGGCAUCCAACAGAAGGGGGAUUUGUGGGAGAAAUCAAUAAUGAGCUGCAAAAGAAAGAAAGUGCCACCGGCUCUGUCAAAAGAAUGUUUGAGUAUGUAUACUAGUAGAUGCUUUGUAUCGGCUAAGUAUGAAUACAUCGUCACUUUCGAUAAUCAUCAAUUGAAAAAGAAUGUACAUAUCGUCAUCCGAAACUCGAAGUCACCCUUCUUGUCUCGGCUGUCUGUCGGUGAAUCUCUGAGUCGGUCUGCAAGUAGCCUAAAAAACAGCACUACUAAUCAGAAGAGUGCCUUGAAUGUAUAUUUGACAAGUGUGGACGUCAAGUUAGACAAACCAGCCAGGCCACCGUUCCAUUUUCCAAACUCAAACCUGAGGCUCAGCUUCUAAAACAAUUCAAAUGGCGGGUAAAAUACAUUAAACCCUCUUAUGGUUUGGUUUGGGUUAUUAUCAUAAACCCUCCUCAUUGUUUAAAAACCCCCGUAUAAAUUCCUUGUGCUUUGGAUUUCUUUGAAAAAUGGAUGAAAAUCAUCUAAAUUGACGGAAAGUGAAUUACACAUGCUUGACAAGCGAGUGUGAUAACAAUACAUCAAGAAUAAUGUGGUAUUUUUACAUUUUCUUUUUUUUUUUCCUUGUUCUUUCUUUUUUUUUUUCUUUCUUUUGAACUAUCUGGAGUAGAAAAACUGAAGAAAAAACUGAAGCAAAAUCAACACCAACCUUUGUUAAUCUUACUUUUAUUUUAUUUCUUCUUUCCUUCUUCUUUUAUUUCUUCCUUUUUUUUAUUUCCCUCCUGGUGCAACUACAAGUAGAAAUCCAAAGCUUCAUUACCUUUGAUAAACCCUCUCAAAUCGAAUUUGAAUUUCUCUCACCAACUCAAAAUCUCCCUUAAACAUACAAUUCACUCGAUUCUUUAAGCCAGAGACACCACCAUCUCAUAGCCUUCAAGUGAUCCCUUUCCCCUUCGUUCUCAUCCACCGUCACCACCAAUUUCGCUUCGCUGCUAUUGCCAUCGGCACUACUGCUUAGAUUUCCUGUUAUGGGUCGCAUCGCCAAGUCCGUCAACGACCACAAGGCCAGUCUAGAUCUCAUUUCGAUAGACAAUAUGCCCAAGCCACUCACUAUUGCAGACGUCUCUCCAACUCCGAUGCAUGGCUUGAAGCUCCAUAUUGCCCACCAAAGUGUUCCCACAACUUUCAGCGAAGCCACUGCCGGCAAAGUUUAUAUGAACAUGUGAAGUGGGUUAUCAGGGGUAAUUCUUAAUGUGUAGACAUUUUUGAUCUAGAGAUUUUCGUGAAGAAAUUUUGUGGGUUUUAGUUGAAUUUUGAUUUCUCAUUCCCCAAAUCUAAUACAAGUUGACUUUAAUUUGAGCGGUUUCUGCUUAAUUUAGUAUUGAGAUUCUUGGCAUUGAUAUUAAUUUGAUCUGAUCCAUUUUAGUAUGAAGGAAGAAAAGAAAAGGAAAAGGAAGAAAAAUGCAAAAAAAAAAAAAGAGGCCUGGUAUAAAUGAUUGAUGAUUGAACCUAGAGAUGAUGACAAUGGAAAAGGUAUCAGUGUUUGCAACAUGAAAGGCAAGUUAGAGAAGAUGACUGUUUGGAAAAGAUCAAAUCUUUUUAAAAUUUCAAUUUAUCCCCUUAAUUUACUUUUUGUUCUCAAAUGAAUUAAAAAAUUUAGUAAAAUAACAGCUAAAUCCUAAAUUAACUAUUGGUACAUUUUGAAAACGGGGUUAGCAUUGAAAUUUUACGUCUUUCCGUCAAUUUGGAUGAUUUCCAUCCAUUUUCCAAAGAAGUUCAAAGCAUAAGGAGUUUAUAUGGGGGUUUUUAAACAAUGAGGAAAUUUUACGACAAUAACCCAAAUUACAAGGGGGUUUAAUGUAUUUUACCUUUCAAAUGGCAUCAAGAAAUUUUCCCCAAUGUUUUAAAAAUCAGACUGUUAUUUGAACCAGUGAAGUGAAAAGGUCGAGAUUCAAUCGGUCGGAUUGGUUCAACCCCGGUUCAAUAAAUUUUUAAAAAAUAAUUUAUUUAAAUAUAUAUGCACAAAAUAAGACAUGUAAUUGGCUAAUUUAAUACUUUAUAUGAUGAAAAGUUUACUAUUUUUUAAUAAUUUGGAUUUUUAAAAAUAAAUUUUUUAAAUUAUAAGUUAAAACAAAUAAAUUUCAUCUCAAUUUCAAUUAUAUCUAAAUCCAACAAAAAAAUCACAAUAUUUUGAAAUUAUACAAAAUUCACGUCUAUAAGAAUUUAAAUAUUGUAAACUUAAAUUUUAAUUUACGUUUUGGGAUUUAGAGAUUGCAAUUUAAAAAAAAAUUUUGGAGUUCGAAGGAAAUCAAGAAAAUCGAAAAUAGAAAUAUAAACUUGAUAAGAAAUAAAAAAUGAGACAAAAGUGAGUGGUUGUGACAUUAAAUAAUUUGGGUUAAAGAAAAAUAAAUUUUUUUAACUUCUUUUAAUUUAAUGGACAAAAACAAAAUUAAAAGAUAGAAGAAAAUAUCAAUAAAUUAAAAAUAAAGAUGUUUGAUUAAAAAGAGAGUAACAAAAGAAACGAGGAUAGAGAAAGAGAGAGAGAGAGAGUUGAAAAUUAAAAAGAAAGAGCCAUGAAAAGAUGAGAUAUUGUAAGAAAAAUGGAAAAAAAUAUGAAUGUUUCUUUUAUAUAAAUAAGGUAUCAAAAAAAACUAAUAAGAUGUGAUGGUGCAACGGUUAAUACAUUGGUCUUUUAUUACAAAGGUCUUGAGUUCAAAUCUUGAUAGCUGUAUUUUGCAAAACUUAAAAAAAAGGGGGAGGAAGUUGAAAACCGAAAACCACCGGUUCAAUCCGGUUCGUGAUUUUUACAGUUUGAUCGAUUUCUGACCGAUUUUCUGACAAAAUCAACUAUGCCAUAGAACCGGACCGGUGCCAUGGCCGAUUCGCGGUUCAACCAGUCAGUCUGGUCCGAUUUUCAAAACAUUGAUUUCCCCAAUUUAAACCCAAUUCAUUUUGCAUCUACGGAUAGUUCGACUGGUUCCGUAACCUGAUAGUGACCAGCAGGUUCCAUUAUUGAUUCCCUGUGCUAUUUCUCUGUGUAUCAUUUGGAUAAGGCCCUAUACAAUUUUAGCGGAUUAGUCUGAUCGAAAAAUUGGGUUACUUCUAAAUAAAAAAAAAAUAAAUAAAAUCAAUUCAUUUUACAUUUAGCACAUCACAACUCAAAAUAAUUUAUCUAAUUCCCUCUCUGCUCCGUAAUACAAAAGGUUAAAGACGCAUCGUUGCCCAUAAAUGCCAAAGAAUUCCUUACUUAACAAUAAUGAAAAGAACGUAGAGAAUUUAAAAGAAUAAUAAUGUACAAAGCUAGCGACUAUUGCAAAAAUUGAUAAGAUAAGUUUUUUUUUUUAAUUUAGACAUUCUCCAUUAGCGACUACUCGAGCUCGCGUUGUUUAGAGAUGCUCACGAGCUUAACAAUUAGCGCCAUUAAAGCAGUAAGCAAAAAACGGGAGUGGUGCCAAUGGCAGUGGUAUUGGUAGUGCAUUAGACUUGAAUGGGACCUGUGACAACUGCGUUUGCAGGAAAUGCAGGCCCCUCUCUUUCGGAAAAUGUUACGAAGGAAAAAUCAAAAUUUUCCAUUCCUGAUAUCAUUGGCAGAGCAAAGCGAACCCAUUCUUUUUACCGCCAUUCCUUAAUUAUUAAGCGGCCUGCUUUUUCAUAAGUACCCAAUAAAUAACUUACGGGGAACAAGUCAGUACGUGGGUCCCCGGAUGUGACCUCCCGCGCAUAUCUCCUUUCCUUUCAGCCGUCCGAUGAAAACGAGCUCUUCUUCGCCUCUUUUUUUUUCUCUCUCCGACGCUGUUACUAGUUAUUAUUAAAAAAAAAAAAAAAAAAAGAUCAAAAUACACACAAACAGCAGCACAAGUGAGCUCCAGCCCAAAAUCCCAGAACUGUACUCUUUUUAGCUCCCCCUGCUUUUCUCCUUUUCUUUUUCCUUUUGGGUGUACGUUCGAUUCUGUAUAUUCUCAUAGUAUUUAGCUUUGGAGUUUGGGGAAAGCUGAGAGCAAAAAGGCAUUUUGGGAUGCUACAAAAGAUUUAUAUUCUGCUUAGUUUCUGCGUAAAGCUCCUCCCAUCUUUUUGAUCUUUUUGGGUGGAGCUUAUUUUGCUUUUUACUGCUUUUAAUUUCACACCCACUUAUUUCCAUGGGGGGUCACCGACGUGGUUUUUAUCUCUGCAUCUUCAGAGAGCUUCAUGGCUUUUUCUUGCUCUCCAUUCUGCUAAAUAAGCAAGGCAAGUUAGUACUAUUUCUUUUCUUUUUUGGGUCUAAUCUGGCUUGGUGGAUUGCUGAUAUGCUUCUUUGUUUCGUGAUGAAAUGAUUUGCAUUCUUGUUGUGUUCGCGAAAUUCCUUUGGAAAUACUCUUUCUGAAAUUUGUAGCUGACUCUCGAGACGCAAUUUAUCUCCAAGAUCUCUGUUUUGAAUACAAAAUUUUUGCUUUUUUGGUUGUUCAAACUUGUUAUUUGAGUUUGCAUUUGGGUUUGUUCCUCUCACAGACAGGGAAGCUGUAAGAAAUUUUUCGUUUCGAAAGUUCUUUUUGUUCCUAAAGAGCUACUCCAUUUAACCUAUCGCGCGAAUGGUAGAACUUGGAAACAAAUGAGAAGAAGAGCAAAAGAAAGAUAGAGAAAAUAAUUUUGUGGAAGGGGAAGAAGUGCUUAAAGGUCUUUCCCCACUCUACAGUUUCUUUCCUUCUUAUUCAACUAUGUCCCAAUAAAUAAAUCAAUUUAUUGGUCAAUUAUUGUCAAUAAUGUUUCUCAGCUUACAUUCAAUUAUUAUGUCCCAAAAAAAAAAAAAAAUUUUGAAUGUCGAUUUCAAAUUUUAAAGAAGUGCGAAUGCUUUGUGGUUAGUGGUUAUGCAAUAGCUGUUCUUCCUUGUCUUUUGCAAUGUUUUCUGCUUUUGACGAUGACAUCCCAGUUUACCUUAUCUUCAACUGUCACUCUUAUGGGCCUCAAGGACCACCCAAUCUUCGCUUUCAAAUUGAUCUAUGGUGCACGUUUGUCUAUAUGUUGCCCAGAUUGUCCUUAUGCACCCUGUGAACCAUUCUUUUUCCUAAUCAUACUCUUAUUUGCAUCAAAGUGGGAUUAAAUUGGUUCUGCAUAAGUUGUCAUAUGCAUGUCGGAUUGUGUUACCAUGAAGUAGGAGAUGCUUGACUGUUUUAUACUACAGAAGUUGUCAGUCUUAAAGGGUAAGUGGUCUUAGAGCCAUGUUCAUUAUUAUGCUUCCGGAGAGAAGUGCCAAGAAUUUCUUUGUAGCACUUCGGUUCAGAAUAAAGUUACAAACGGCCAAGCUGCUUAAGUUAUAAUCCUGUUCCUAGAAUUGGAUCAGUGGGUUCUCCUAGUGAAACUGCGAUACCUUUUUCCUUCAAUAGAGAAAAUAGAUUGAAGUAUAGAAGCACACUUGAUCUGAGCCCUCUCUUAUUAUCAUUGUUUUUUUUAUAGCUUCCAUUCAGUUGUUAUUUCUAAUUUAUUUGACGAUUUCUGGUUUAAGUUAGUUCUAGUAGUAAAAAAUUAACGAGUUCAAUUCACAAUCACAUCAUGUAUCACAAAACUUCUCAUCCUUAAUUAUUUGUACCUCCAACUUUAUUGUUGAGAUUGUUCUGUACUGCCUUUCAUCCCAUGACUGCAAACUCUGGAGAACUUCCUUGGACGAUUUUAGAUCUUCUCAAAAUUUCCCACUAUUUGUCUAUAGAAGGACUUGUAACAUUUCCAUCUCUAGCUGUAUAUAUCGUGGGCCAGCUCUCUCCGAUUACAAUGAGCCUUUCUCCUCUAUUAGGUCCAUUUAGCAAAUAACAUUGACAGGUACGUGCAGGAGACACUAAUAUAAUGUGAUUGUUGAACUGAAUAUGCAAGCCAUAAGAUGGUUAAUUUCAUGCUAUUGGCUUGUUGCUUCUUACCAUAUAACACAGAAAGCUUCGCUAGGUCCCCUUGAUUAUGGCCUCUUUUGCCUCUUUACUGCUCUGAGAUAAUACUACUUGUCAUCUUCUGGAAAUCAUGUAUGUCUUUCAGACAACUGCAUCAUCUCUAUACGUACUAUCCAAGCUCACUACAUUUAUGGCCUGUCUUUUUGAUAGGUACCAUUUCCAUGUGAGAUCUAUCAGCUGGCUAACCAAAUUUCCAGAGCCAAGUUGGUUAAUUGCGAGAUAUCUGGUGCCAAGGGCAGUAUGGAAUGUCAUUUGGAGCUCAAUAGAAACUUGAGGGACCAGGAACUCUUGCAGGUGGUCUACAGUCAAUCAUCACACCAAACAUGCCAAAGUACAAAACUGGGAGAUAGGUUCAAACUAGACAGGAAUGGCAACUCUUCUGCAGAUUUUCAUCCUAAAAUAGUGAGAAAUUUGGACAAUGUAUCACAAAAGCCACGAGCACUUCACCGAAAGCAACGAGCUAGGAGUAAGGCAGAUGAACUUGUUAGAUACAUGUCAAGUUUGCCAAGUUAUUUGGAGGCAGGAGAAAACCUCCAGGAGAAAGCUUUGAAUGUUGGGGUCCUUGAAUGGCGCCGUCUAGAGAAGUGGCAGUAUAACCACAGACAGGUUGCCGAACGAAGUUCCAAGUCUUCGCCAUCCAACAGCAAUGCCUCAUUGUUUUCCUCAACAGAGGGAUCAUCCUCCAAUUCUGGCAGAGGUCAUAGCUGCUCUCCUAUCAACCAGAUGAUGCACCGCCCUAGUCUGGAUUCUAAUCGAAACACAUCUCCUAACAGAGUCUCCUCCCCCUCCCUAGGCACCAAAUCCUUCCAGAGAAAUGGUGGAAAGUUCCAAGAUCUUGGAGCUAGCUCGAGUAACUACUUGAAAGUGUCACAGAGUAUCCUCAGCACACAUCAGUGUUUUAGCAAGUACACGGAGAACCAGGGUAAAGAGUGCAAAACCCCAGAUCAUGAUCCGGUAGGUAUUUUUGAGAAGGAGCUACAAGAACUAGAAAAGCAUAGUUCCAUCUCAAAUUUGAAUGGAAAACUGAAGUUCCAUGUCCAUGAACAUUCGAAGGAAAAGGAAAGCUUGCAAAUUCCUUGUUGUAAGCCUAAUUCUGUUCAUGACAGCAUGAAUGGACAGCCACUAGUGGUACUCCAUCAGCCAAAAGAAGUACUAGAAAUUAGAUCUGCUACAUCGUUGAAUCAAUCUGAUUCAACAGGAAAACUGGCCCAGGGAUCAAUCGAAGCUAGUCGACAUAGCUUUUCUGAUAAUUCUAAUUCUGAUGUCCAUGAGCUCUCUUCUGAUAUACCUCGCUCUUGUCCACUUCCUCGUGAAGUUAUUACCCCAAGGGAUGCGCAGAUCCAACAACCCUGUUCCGCAGCUGAAAGCACUACGAGGUUUUCCUCUGACGUAUUACCAUAUUCUAAAGUCUCAGCUAGUCUGAGCAGAAGUAGAAAUCUGGAAGGGAAGAAGUCAACCAGAACACUUGAUUGUUCAGCUGAGGCACCAAACCUGAAAAUGGAGACUGAAGAGGAUAGGAAAGUCAGACAUCCUUCCCCAAUCCGCCGAUUAAUGGGUAGGAUAGGCAGGAGCUCAAAAGACACACCAUGUGCUCUACAGAGAAAUCUUGAGACUGAUAGAAUUUGCUCCAAGGAGGCUGAAACCUCCGUUUCCUCAGUUGAUUCAUCUUGCGACAAAUCAAAUGUCACUGGAAAAGGAAGGUCCAGUCCUUUGAGAAGACUGAUAGACCCAUUACUUAAGCCCAGGGCCAGCAACCUUGACCACUCUUUUGGUUCACCACAGAGAGAUUCCUCACCAAUAGACAGGGCGGGUAAAUUAUCCAAGGGGCGAGGAGAGUCUGCUGCUCGACAUUCUUUGAAAGUGAGGUUAGAUCUUGGGAGCUGCAAAACAAUUGACAUUGAUCAUCCACAAGACAUUGGAAAAUGUGGCUCAUCAACAGUACAAGCGCUUCUGCAGGUAGCAGUAAAGAAUGGGCUCCCUCUAUUUACAUUUGCAGUUGAUAAUAGUAGCGAAAUUUUAGCAGCCACAAUGAGUAAGCUAGGUCCUGGUAAAAAGGAUGCUAACAGUUGGGUGUAUACUUUCUUCACUGUUCAUGAAAUGAAGAAAAGGAAUGGUAGUUGGUUAAACCAGGGAAGUAAAGAUAGAGCUCAUGGUUACGUACCUAAUGUAGUAGCACAAAUGAAGGUUUCUGAUGUUGCAUCCACAAAGUUGAUUGGGCAAAACUUGGUGGACCAAUGUACCGUUAGGGAAUUCGUUUUGCUUGCUGCGAAGAAAAGACGGGGAGAUAGGCAGGCGUUAGAUGUACAGGCAAAUGACGAACUCACUGCUAUUGUUCUUAAUUUACCUAAAAUGGCCGUAAGAAACUUAAGUGAAGGUGACCAGAGAACAUGUGAAGUUGAAAAGCUUUCAAUGGUGGACUUGAAAGUGCCUUCCCUUGACUUUUGCAGAUUUUCUGAGAGUAGGGAUGUUGAAGAGAGCGGGUGUUUUGCUGGAAGCGUGGACCCUUCCGGUCUUACAGUUGUACUUCCGGGUGGUGACCAUGGAAUACCUAGUAAAGGGGAACCUUCACCUUUAAUAGAAAGAUGGAGAUCAGGUGGAUCGUGUGACUGUGGGGGUUGGGAUGUUGGUUGCAGAAUAAAGGUUCUUAGCACUCAGUUUGGUGUGACGUCUGGUUCAGCUAAAGCCCAGUCGAGCACCAAAAAAUUCCAGCUUUAUUGCCAGGUAGUUUAAUACAUGCUGCUAGUCGACCUCAUUUGGUUCAUCUUUUAGCUUUUGUCUUUUCAUUUUCUUGCUAUUGAUACACAUCAUACUGCAAUGUGGUCUUGCCUUCUAAUUCGUUUCUACAAACUUUCAUCAGGAACGAGGACUGGACGAAAGGCCAAUUUUCAGCUUGUCACCGUUCAAGGAUGGUAUCUAUUCAGUUGAAUUUGACUCAUCUGUCAAAUUUCUACAAGCAUUCUCCAUAUGUAUUGCAUAUCUAAAUGGUUUCCAGCCAGCUAAAUUUUCUGAAUUCGGGUAUUUAUCUGAGAAUAAAUCUUCGGAAGAGAGGACAUUCUCAGAAACUGAUGAGCCAAAGGUUUUCAACGGGGACCAACAAGAGUAUCCUGCAAGCAACAUCUACCAUCCUCCUGUUUCACCUGUUGGGAGAGUCUAGCUUGCUAGAACGUUCAUCAAUUUGAACUUGGCAAUGCAAUUCAGAUUGUAAAGUUUUGUCAUUGUGACUAAGCAACAAUAAGGGUUUAUUCAUUAAACUGGAAGGUUCAGCCUGAAGGUACACCCCUAGUGUUACAGGAGGAAAGAAUGAUGCCAACAACAGUUGUAUUUGUGUUACUGGGGCAUCAAAAAAGGCAUUGUCAUGCGUCCCUUUCUACUCGAUGCAAGUGUGCAUAUUGCUGUUGCUAAUUGAACUUCGUCUUGUGCAGUGUCUUUGAGUUCUUGAGUUACAGAUGGAAUCUUGGUCCUUGAUGAACCUAUUUAGACAAGUAAGCUCGCAUAUGAACUAAGCUUAGGAUUAGUUGCCUUGAUAUGGGCUGCGUGUGCCCUUCCAACUCCAGAUUUUCAACAAAGUAAAGCAUUUGGAUUAUUUUCAACAAUGUAGCAAGAUCACAAUUUUUAUUUGGAUUAAUUUUUUUUUGUCCAACUACAUCGGUUGCAUUCUCCUUUCUUGGUAAAUAUUGGGUAGAGGACAAAGGAAGAAUAAAAGAUUUAAGCGAUAGGAUAUGGUUGGCAAUAAAUUUGCUCAUGUAUCAUUUGGGAAGGGCAGGCAUAGAAUUGGGGAAUCAUGAGGGUGCCUGUCCGGGGUUCUGCAGCCUGUUCAUUCAGGAUAAAUGCAUAACCAAAAAAGCCUUAUGCAGUAUUACGAUUCAGGACGCAUACAUUUUAUUUAUCUCAUGGAGUGACUCCUUAGAAAAGUAUACUUCCCCCUCUGGUUUACGAAGUACCAUGAUUUGCAAGAAAUUUGCUUCUCUCUGCCACAUUCUCUGUUCUUAGUGUCCUGGCAUGAAUCUAGGAGUUAAACAAUGAAUUCGCCAUUUUACUCAUGAUGAGGACGAAAAAAGUCCGUUCAUCCAUCAGUAACAGCAAAAUAAGUAGGGUCUUAUUACAAAAUGGGGGAAAAAAAGAAAGACUUUUUGCUGAAAAUUGUUUAUGUGCACUUUGGUAGUAUUUAGGAUACAUGGAGAGGCAAAGUCUAGUGGACAUUAUGAGCUCAUGGUACAGUUUCUUCUCUAAUCCGCCACCCGCACAUAGUUUACCUAUUUUAACUGCUAUAUUAAAUGUUAAAGACCAGUUUAUGUAUUUUGUUGUCUUCGCGAGAAUUAAGUAUUGAUCUAAUAGAAAGCAACCUUUUUCUUUAAGUCCUGCAGUCCUAUGAAAAUGAAAAUUGUUCUAAAAUUGUGAUAUGUCUACAGUCUCUGACAAUUGAUUCUUAGUUUGUGAAGUUGUUGCAAGCCAGUAGUAUUCCUUGCAGAUUCAAGUUCUUACUCUUACUCAACGACGUAUUUGUGUUUGUAAGGUCCACGGUUGCAAUACCUCGUUACAUUUGAAAGGAAAUUAAGCAGAAAAGUACUAGUGAAACAUAGAAAAUAUCAAAAAAAGUAGAGUCAUGUCGAGUCAGAAUCAAACUCGAGUGUUAACUUGCUUGAAUUCGGACAUACUGAGUUUGUUUGGAUGAGAAUUUAUUUGGAUGAUUUAUUUGAUCUAGUUACCGUAGCACUUUUCGUGAUGUGAUAUAUGCGAGAUAAAAAAAUGAUUGAGAAUUGUGUGUAUGAUGCAAGUAAAAUAAAAUCUGAAAUUUUUAUUCCAAAUUCUUGUUGUCCAAACAAACUCAGACUUUACUGACAUGCUCAAUCUCGAAUCAGCAUUCCAAGCUAGGCUCGAGUUCGGCUCUUUGAACUUCUUUUCGUCCAGCUCCAGAGUUUUGAAAUAUGCGAUUGUUAAAUAUUAUAACAUAUAAACCUAAAAUAGUAAUUUGAAAAUAAUGACAUAAUAAUUAAUUAUUCAAUGAAAAACUCGAUUGAAUUUAUCGAGCCCUCGAGUCUCCUAAAUUUGUAUUCAAAUUUGAUUCGAAAUCCGAAUCAAAUAACUCGAACUCGAUUCGUGUUUGAUGGACAUCGACAUCGAUUCAAACAAUUGGACGUCGAGUCAAGGGUGCUCGAUUCAUAGCUUACCGUCAAACAUUUUGAGGAUGGAAGUUUGAAAAAGGGAAUUCCUUAUUCGAUCAAAUCGUCGACACUUUUCCCCAUCGUGCCUCGGGUGAAUCAUAAUUGAUGGGUGGAUGCUAAUUGGGGAAAGAAGAGCCGCUGGGUGGGGACCAUAACCUGUAGCCAUUCAUAAUCUCAGAUGAUGGGUUCACAACGCACAGCCAGAAGCAUGUAGUAGCAGUAGUCGUUAGCAUUAAGGAUUGUUCUGCUCCUUAAUUUAAUGUGGAAAGUUUUUUAAAAGGUGAGCACGUGACGGGCCAUAAAGGCAGCGGCGCUGUCAUGUGACCUAAUCAUGCAAUUAAAUAAUGCUUCGACUUGCUGGUCCCCUCCUCCCGCUCCCGUCCAUGUCUCCUGGAUCUUCCAAAAUAAAAUUUUAUUUAUUGUGUGGUAGUAGAAUACUAGAAUCAAGAAGAAUGCAAGACGGAGUCUUGAGCAUGAACGAGGCUCCUAUAAAUACUUGGGUAAAUUGCAGGGUCAUCCCUUACUAGCUUUUUGAAGUUAGGCAUCAUAUUUUAGUUGACUAAAAUCUUAUAUAUACACUCAUAAUAUAUAUACUGUCACCGUUUGAUGCUUGACAUAUGUAUAAAAGUUGAAUUUCAAGUUCAAAUUUUAUAUAGUUAUCAUUCACCCAAUACUGACAGUUUAUAAACAGUAUAUGCACUAUCGACGUAGGAAAGAUUAAUCCAUCUUAGUUUGUGUUAAAUUUUUUGUUUACUGACAAUGUAGCGUGUUUAUAUACAUUAAUUCGAAUGCAAAUUUCAAUUUUGCACACGGCGCGUCUGUACUCGUUAGCAAAAGAACUCUCAGAUAUGGUAAACGAAAAAAAAUUAAUCAUUUUAGUUUCGAUAACAUCCACUUUUAGAGGAAUUUAGAUUUGAAAGUAGGUCGUUUGCAUGCUGACCAUGUAUGGGUGAGGUAGAGGACCUGUAAUCAUGAUAAAUUUUGGGAGAUUUCCUGCAUUAUAUAUACCUUCGUAAAAUUCUUUUCCUACCACUCUCAUUUCUUUCUUGUACUAAUAUAUUCUUCAACUGCAAUCCGAAGACCCGAAGCUCGACAUAUCACAUUCAUCGGUGACAACAUCUUUCGCACCACUGGGGCUGCUUCUGCAUGCAGUUGGCUUCCUAUCCACCAGUCAACCAGAUGAGAUAAUGGAUUCAUUCCUUUUUGCUUCGCCUUUAGCUUAAUGCCACAAAUUUUUGUCAUUUCAUUAGCUUAAAAAUUGACAUUUCCUCCGCCAGCCUAGCUAAAUCACUAACCCCAGCUGAAAUUCAAUCGAGAGAGUGGAUAUGAUCAUGAUUGCAUGUACAAUACUCAUUUCUUCGAUCAUCAUCAGCACUAAUAAUUCCGGAUUUGACUCCCACGUGUGCUUCUAGCUGAGUUUGCAUCAAAGGCCAAAACGAAUCAUCGGCAUAUAUAGCUGGAUUUUGCUCCAUACCUUGACUGCAAUUGAUGUUUUACCGGUUCUAUGAGCUCAUGUGACCUGACAAAUGCGAUUUAGGAAUCAGUUUCAUAAUUUUCAUCAACAAUUGAUGUUGCAGGUGAAAAGUUGAGGAGCGUAAAAAUUCAUAAAAAGUCCCAUUUAGAUUGCAAGCUUUUCAAGAAGAAAUUUUAGAGGGUUGGUUCUCUUGACACAGAUCUCAAGCUUCUUUCUAUCUCACAUAGAUUACAUUUGCUACGGUAUAUUUUCCAAACAGGCAGCAUUAUGUUCUACUUUUAGCUUUUUCGUAUGAAGUUCAGAGAAUAGAAUAUUAUAUCAUCAGAUAACAAGGAGCCGCUGCGGUUCAUGUUCCCACAUUUGAGAAUGGAUGGACAACUUUGACGUAGUAAACAACUUCCUGGGCCCUUCCAAUGCUUAAAUAAGCAUUUUUAGCCACUAAAAUCUGAGCAAAAUACCAUCCUUUCUGUAUCCCUUUCUUUCGUUCCAUCAAAGCAAACUUAGACGAAUGAAAAAGGGUUUCGUUUCAUGACGACGCAUCUACCAGCUCGGCACUGCCUGCCUGGUCCGGGCAAGUGUUUUCAAGGAUGGUGACAGCAAGUUUGAGGAUCCUGUACAUGGGGUGCGAUGCAUUUCAUGAUGGCUAUUAGGCCCCAUGCAUUAGCAGUUUAUUCAUUCUAAAUCAGUGGAUUGAUGUUGAUAAAGAGCAACGACCUGCUAGCACACUUGAGCUGGAAACGAAAAAAUAAUAAUAAUAAUGAUAAUAAAAAGCGGGUCAAAGCAAGUGAUGACCCCAAAUUUGGGGCGUUUGCCUUUCUGCAUCAUUGAGGGAAUGCUGUAUUCAUUUUUAGUACUUGUGGACCUUCCUGAUAAAAAAAAAAGGAGUCCUUUUUUCACUCCAGAUAUUAUGAUUUUGUCCACACAAAUUAGGCAGUGGUACCAUUUCAGCUGAAACUUACUUUUCAGAAUUCUUGUCCUUUUAAUUAAUCAAUAGUUGUUCCACGAGCAUGUGCGAUUUUAUCUUCUUGUAAUGAAGAAACGAGUCUAAAUAGACAAGAUUUGUUAUGGAAAGUGCUGUGAAAGGAGUACUAAAUAGGGAUGGUGAUUGAGAAUAUGCAGCGAAAGGAGUUAAUCUUCAUGAUUCUGGCGUUGUACAUUUUAUUCACCUAGAUUUCUUUCUUAUAUUUGUGCAUCUUAAACCAUUCAAGGUGGUUUAGAAGUGUCGGGAGAGAAACACUUCUAGAAAGUCUAUCAAAGAACUCAAUAUGUAAGUCAGGAAAUCAACUCUGAUCCAAAAAAUUAAACUAUGAGGUCUCGAUCCCUUACUUACAUAUUAACCUCUCUUUAUUCAUUUCUCGAACCAAUAUGAAAUAUAAUCCUUUACUCUGUGAGUCUAAUAAAAAGAAAGUGUGGAAGUUAAAUCAUAAAUGGAGCCUCGGCUGUAAGUAAUUCAAUGAACAUCAACAAUUGCUAUACUUUUCAAAAGUGUGGAGGGCACAAAUCAUCCAAGUUAAACUACUGUUUUGACUCAAUGAUUGAGGCCAUAAUUAAUACAAUUGGUAUUUCAAGUACUCCUAUUCGAAACCAAUAAUUUCAUUACAUCAAUUUUCCGUUCAUUGAUGAAGAAUUCUACCCCGACAUUGACCAUGCCCGUUGUUUGAAAACAACUUUAAGCUGACUAAGAGUCCCUUUAAAUUCUUGUCAAGUUCUAUCCAUUUGUUUUCAACCUUUAUCAAGUUCCAUCCAUCUUGAGGACAUCAUCUUCUUUUCUAUUAUCAUCAAUUUUCAAAACUACACAACUUUUGAACUUUAAAGUGCUAAAAAGUUCUUCAAAAGAUUCAAAAUGGAAUUUAUAACAGAAUUUUCAAACUCAAAAUGUUACUACGAAGUGUAGAUGUUCUCCAAGUUAAGUUGUUUAUUUUAUUUUGGUAAAAUAAGUUGAAUGACAGGAAAAAUAAAAAAAGGAAAUCCCAAAUCCUAGACAGUGUUACACAUUAACCGUUGAACUAAUCAACGAGGUUGGCCUGAUGGUUGGAGGGAGGAUUCUCAGACUUCUCCUAGAUUCUUAAAAUUAUCCCUAUUGUCAUAUUUAAAAUUCGAAUCACGAGUUUGAAAGUUUGGGGUGGAAAGGUUAACAAAAAAAAUUGUUAAAAAAAGAUUAACCAUUUGCUAAUGAUGUUUACUCGGAGCAAGGAAUGGUGGAAUUGUUGGAGUGGAAAGGCAUUUUCAAGUGCAUUUGACGUGACUAGGACUGCAAUUAGAGCAGGGUUUACUAUUUAAAUCGUCAUCCUUAAGUGCGAGCGCACCUAAAUUAGUCGUAAUUCUCCACUCUGACUUCCUGAGUUUGACCGGACGCCUCACUUAAUCAUCCGACUCCCUUUCAAUCUUCCGAUGAUUAUAUCUAAAUCUAGUGCAAUUAAAGCCUAAUCUUAGAUGUCAAAAGAGAAAAGUUGACCAGAUAACCAUUAAACCAAGCACACACUGUACCAUAUGUAGACUCGCACGUGACGACGGACACUAGACUGUAUCUUGAAAGGUUUUUUGGAUAAUAUCAGAAAACUCUGCUGAGGUUUCUCUUAAUGUUAUCUAACACCCCUAAAAUCUUACAAAUAUCACAUAUCUCCCUUACUUUUAUUAUUUGUAUAACAAAAUUUUGAAAAACUAUAAACCACUCUUUUGCUUGUUAAAAAAAAAUGCUCCAAAGUCACUUUAUUCACUCCAAAGAAACUGUUAUCUAAAAAAAAAUCUCUAGUAGUACUACCACAUCAUAAUUUUAUAGUCCAUAAAAGUAUAAAUUUGAAAAACAAAAAAGAUAUUUUCAAAGAAAUACACUAGCACUAAUUUAAGUCUAUAUGAUCAAAAUCGAUUUUUUAUGCAUAUUGUAUUUUUUUCCCCAAUUUCUUCUCAACUCAUGUCAAAACCUUUAAAUUGUACUAAUCAUUAUAAAAAUUAACUCAAAAUAAAUAAAGAAAUCAUACCCCACUCUAUCACAAUCACAAAUGUAAAAAAUAAACAAAAUUUAAUUUACUAUAAUUUACAAAUAAAAAAUUGCAUAGUCAUCCAAAAAAAUUAGUAAGAGAGAAUUGAAGAAAGGAGAAAGAGAAUGAAGUGACUUUUAUUUUUUCUUAAUUUUUUGACCUUUAUUUAUUUGAUGUGUGAAUUAUGUAUCAAGUAAUGGUUAAUUUUUUUUUUUUUGACAAUUACUAGAGAAGGUAAGUGAUAUUUUAAAAAUGUCAAAGUGCCAAUUGAUAUGAGGAGAAACCUUGAGGAGGUUUCUAAUAUUAUCCCAAUCUUUUUAGCACACUUGCAGGGCCGUGUUUUACAACUUACAUGACCAACAUGGUACUAGUCGAUUUUGUUUCCCCUUUUCGGUGAAAUUUCUAUUCCACAUUCUGAAUAGAUUUUAUCAUUUUCCCUUAAAAUUUCUUUCCAUUUUUUACCAUUACUUUUCUUUUAUUUUUUUAAUUCAAAUACAGUUAAGCAUGAAGCUUGCUUGAAGAAUAGAGUAGUAGACAUUGACAAUGGCUUUAGUAUUGAUUAAUUUGAAGCCACUAAAUUGCCAAUACUUUGAACAAAAUUACCAAAAUUUGAAGCAAGAAUCUCACAUUUUUUAUUUUAUUUUUUUGUAUCCAAAGGAGAUUUCAAGCCUUACAAGGAGGAAAGGAAAAAUGGGAUGAAUUGAAAGUCAUGUGUUCACUUGACUAAUAUCCUACCAGUUGAGUUGGGUCUUAAGGAUAAUGAAGUAAAAGUUUCCCAUCUCACCUGAUUUUAGGAAACAAUUAGAUGAAUUUUAUUAAGCAAUACCCCUUUUUUUCCUAUAUUGAUGUCUUGUAUCAGGUGAUUUUCUUUAUAUUUCUUGGCAAGACUUUCCAUACUCAAAAGAUUACUUUACUUUUAAAAAAGAAACUCAAAAAGACAAUCAUACCCUUUUGCAAAUUUAUGUACGAGCUUUGGUUAGAGGCUUAGAGCUAAAUUACAAGGACUUGCAACUAUUAAGAGAUUCCUUUUUUAUAAUUAAAAAAGAGAUUCUUUAUUCUACUUUGAGCUAUAUUUCCGUUGUCAUUUUCAAUAAAAUGAUAUUCCAUAUUCAUAGUUAAUAAGUCACAGCGAAUAUCGACGUUGCGUAACAUUUUGUAUUAUCUAUCCUAUUGAAUUUGGUGUAAGUGAAAAAAACUUGCAUUCAUCAAUCAUAUGAGAUCUUAUAUUUGAAAUUCAUGUAAAUAGAAAAUAUAAUGUUGAAAAAGUCUUUUCUGCGAGAAAUUCGACUAGACUUUAAUAAGAUUAAUCGUAGAAUGUGAAAUGGAUGCAUGCAUAGCCUCGUGGUUUAUACCAAAAAAAAAAAAAAUUGUACUAUCUAUAAACAUUCUUUUUUUUUUUUGUCAGCAACAAUAUAUUUAUAUAACUCAUGCUCCAUGGACAUUCAAUACGGCAUGAAAAGAUAAACAAAUACUAGAAUGGCACGUCAACGUAAAAUCAUUCCUAGUAGGAGCAGUGCACUGUACACAGUAUACAUGUUUCUCGAGGGUACUGUACACAGUAUUCGAAAAACCCUUUUGUUUUUCCCCCUCCCUGCCAUGAAAUAGAACAAAUAGAAUAAUGAUUAAAUGCUAGUACUAAUCAAAAUAAAAGAGAUUUUGCAUUUUCAACUUGGGUGGCUCUCUCUCUCUCUCUCCCCCUCUCGUUGCCUUGGCUUUAGAGGUACCAUUUUACCAUUGACCACCUGAAAUGAAUCAAUUCAAGGCUCUCCAGCUCCUCUUCGGUCAUCCCCCAUUAUUAUAAGAACACCAAACCAAAACGAAAACCAUCUCCCCACCGCCUACUCCACCUCCAUCUGAACUUCCAUCACCAUCAUCCCAUUCCUUCGCCUUCACCCUGUACUAGUUCAAGAGAAGAGUGAAAGAGAGAGGGGAGAGGUGGGUUUCAGACAAUCAAGCAGGUUCCAUUGCAUCCAUAUAAGACUUGUACCCCAGAAAAAACAUAUAAUUUAUUUCCCCAAAACCUCUUCCUUCCUUUCUGUUUGUUUUCUUGACCUGAUUGCUGGUUUCGUUUUUUCAGUAUUAUUCGUCUUCAUUCCAAUGGGAGCUCGCUGCUCUAAAUUAGGCUUUUGCUGGUGGCCUUCCAACCUGAAAUCCAACGUCCCUUAUUCCUCUGAUCUUGGUAAUUCUUUAAACUCUCUUAAAUGUAUAAAAAUGUAAUCUUUGUUCCCUUUUUCUGAUGUUUUUUCUUCUGGGGUUUUAGAGAAAUGUGGAGAAAAUGAGAGGAUGAAAUUGCCAGCAUUUAAAGAAUACAGUUUGGACGAGCUGAAGGUGGCGACUUCAGGAUUCUCAGUUGAAAACAUUGUAUCAGAACAUGGAGAGAAAGCUCCCAACGUUGUCUACAAAGGGCAGCUUGAAGAUGACGGCUCUUGGAUUGCUGUCAAACGUUUCAAUAAGUCUGCCUGGCCGGAUUCUCGGCAAUUCCUGGUUGUUAUUACUUCUUUUGAGCAAGUCCCCAGCUACAGUGUUUCACAAAUGUGAUAUUAUCUUAUCUUUGUACGCGCUUUGAUUGUUUGAUAUUGCACUCCUUAGGAGGAGGCGAAGGCAGUAGGGCAGUUGAGGAGUGAGAGGCUGGCCAAUUUGAUAGGGUGUUGUUGUGAUGGAAAUGAGAGGUUGCUGGUGGCCGAAUUCAUGCCUCAUGAAACUCUAUCCAAACACUUAUUUCAUUGUAAGUUUGCUGUUUUUGAAUCUUUAGCAUUAUGCUGUCGAUUUCAAUGCUGAUAAUUGUGUUACUUCUUGUGGCUUAAUGAGAACUUUGUAGCAUUUUGUUGGAAAGUUAUUGCUCCAAGAUUGAAUCUUUGUUGUACCAACUCCGAGUAAUAGUCUCAUAGUAAUGGCCUUUCCAUGUUGAGAAUUUGAUAAGGUUAGAGUCUAUUUUACUUAUUGGUGUCUUUUUGCUAAACUUGUCUGAUGGAGGUGAAGUGUUGGAAGUGAUUAUUUGCCUAAUUGACUUACCUCUAUAAGUCUUCCCUGGCGUUAGAUUGCUUUUAUUUGGAGAUAUAGCUAACUCUGUGAUUCUGUAUGAACUGAUACAGGGGAAACCCAACCGUUGAAAUGGGCAAUGAGGUUGAGAGUUGCUUUGCAUCUGGCGGAAGCAUUAGACUAUUGCAGUAGCAAAGGGCGAGCACUAUACCAUGACCUUAAUGCCUAUAGAAUCUUAUUUGAUCAAGUACUUCCUUUCUUUUCUUCAUUCAUUUGAUGUAGCUUCCAGUCUUGUCAGUUUAUGGAAUUUUUUCAGACUGCCAACAGCUUACUGUGAGUGAUCACACAACAGGAUGCUAACCCCAGGCUUUCUUGCUUUGGCCUGAUGAAGAACAGCAGGGAUGGAAAGAGCUACAGCACAAACUUGGCUUUCACUCCUCCAGAGUAUUUAAGGACAGGUCUUGGAGUAAUUCCCCAAAAGAGCUUUUAGUUUUAGCAAAUAAUGGUCUAUAUUCGAUGCAAAGUAGAUGCUUAACUAAUUUGCUACUUAGACAUCGUCUAGAUCUCAUGUUCGUCUUUACCUUAUUAGCAGAACUUGUGUAUUUAGAUAGUUUGGAAUGUGUCUUUUCCUAGAAAUACAUGUAAUGUCCGAUAUUAGUGGUCAAAUUUCUCCCCUUUCAUUGGCUGCAUGCUUGACAUUUUUCUUUCUUAACAUAAAUAGAACCUUAUAAUGAGCUUUUAGAAAGGUUGCUAAGCACAUAAAUUAACAACUGAGAAGUGAAGUUGCUAAGCACACUAAUGAAAAACGCAGAAGGAGAAAAUUAUUGGGUUCUUCAUAUUCAUAGAUGCUUGAUCUGAUCUCAUCCUUUCAAUUUGACAGGUAGAGUUACAGCUGAGAGUGUAGUUUACAGUUUUGGCACACUAUUGCUUGAUCUCCUCAGCGGCAAACAUAUUCCUCCAAGCCAUGUAAUUGUGCUUUCUAAUUUCUUGAUUCUGAAGUUUGUGAAAAUUGUGUUUUUUGGUAUUGCAAUAAGAAUAGACCAGAAAUAACUCCGCGACAUUAUGCAUCAUCUGAGUCGCUAAAUGAAAAGAUUGUCAGUCUCUCGUUAUAUUCAGGAGAUUACAAAAAGAGUUAUUUUGAUGUAUUCUGUUACUAUAUCCUAUCCCUUAAAUUUCUCUGGAUGAGCGAAUGCUAGAACUAAAUAACAGUUGUUGCCUUUAUAGGCUCUUGACUUGAUUCGUGGGAAGAACAUACAGAUGCUGAUGGACUCUUGUCUGGAGGGUCAUUUCUCAAAUGAUGAUGGGGCAGAGUUAGUACGAAUAGCUUCACGUUGUUUACAGUAUGAACCUCGUGACCGGCCGAAUGCUAAGUCUCUUGUGACCUCUCUUGCUCCACUUCAAAAGGAGAUAGAUGUAGGCCUUAUUCCAUUCUAACUGAAGUCAUUCAGAUAUAAACAAAUUUAGAUGUGGUGCAAAUUUCAAUAUUCUGAUGCUGAUCAUGCUGUUUGAGAUAUCUUUUUAUGCUGAUUUGAUGAAUGUACUAGCAAAAUUUUGCAGGUGCCAUCACAUAUUUUGCUAGGAAUCACUCAUGAAACUUCAUCUCCAGUCCAGACAUCAAAAUUAUCACCUCUUGGCGAGGCUUGCUCACGAGUAGAUCUGACUGCCAUGCAUGAGUUACUGGAGAAGGUUGGAUACAAGGAUGAUGAGGGGGUUGCAAAUGAGGUUAGCUUUUGCACAGCUUACUCUUGUAGCACAUGUACUGCUUGCAUUUUUCCAGCUAAAAAAUUCUCGAGGAACCCCUGCGCCUGGUGGCAGCACCCUUUUUGAUCUAAACCAUGUUCUAAAGUAGUGUUAAAGCUCUAAAAUCUAUUUAUGUUUUGAAAUCAUGCUUCUUUAUCCAUCAUAUUGUCUGUUGAAAAUUAAAGGUAUUUUCUUGUUGGUGUUUUCUUGUAUUAUAUCAUUAUUAUAUAAAAAUUGUUUUUAUUCCGGCAUGCGCUUCUGCACUUCGGGGUGUGGGGGGGGGGUUGUUUCAAUCUUCUGGAGAACCUGUUUAAGAGUGGCAAGUGACAGAAGAGUGUGAUUUUGUUUAACUAAAAAAUCUAUCCACACUGUGCCAUAAUGGAUCAACUUCACCACGUCUGAUAGGAAAUUCUUAACAUCAAGAUGUGCUUAGUCAGAAACUUUCUCCAUCUUUUGGAAAUCUUAAUCCAUAACACUCAAAGGAGUAUUUAGUCAAACUUUGAGAGACACAAUCAAAACUGAUAAGAAUAUAGAGGGCUGCCCAUUGAAAUUACGAUCCCUAUUCCCCAAAAUGCAGAAUCAGAUGGAGUGCUUUUAAUAUGCUGACUCUUUAUUAAGUUCAUAUAAUUUCUAAAAUGUAGCUCGUUUCAUUUGUUGCUCAUAUUUCUCUUAUUCAAGUUUUUUCUCUUUGCAGCUCUCAUUUCAGCUGUGGACUAGCCAAAUACAGGAAACCCUGAACUCUAGAAAGCGUGGCGACAAUGCAUUUCGAGCUAAAGACUUUGCAACUGCCAUUAGUUGUUAUACAGAUGUAAGUAAACCUUCAUAAAAUUGCAUUUAGCUCCAGUCAUAUGGCGCAAUAGGUUAUGAAGAUCUUUCAUGUGCUUUGCUCUGCAGUUCAUCGAGGGCGGGAAUAUGGUAUCCCCAACAGUCCUUGCCCGGCGCUGUUUGUGUUACUUGAUGAACAACAGGCCACAAGAAGCCCUUGCAGAUGCUAUGCAGGCCCAAGUAACAUCCCCUGAUUGGCCUACUGCUUUUUAUCUUCAAGCGGCUGCCCUCUUUAGCCUGGGAAUGAACAGCGACGCACAAGAGACGCUUAAAGAUGGCUCGUCUAUGGAAAACAGAAGAUGAAGUGGAUUUGGCAAAAUGUAUAGAUUAAUUAGGCUUUGCCUUAUAAAUGCUCCUUGUAUCUAGGUUUUGCAAUUUAGAAAUGCCGUUUGGCUGGUUGUUUGCAGCAUAAAAAAGCUGGUUGCAAGACAAGAUUCAUUCAACACCGAGUGACUAUUAUUUUCUGUGUUUACUUGCUGACUGGGAAGAACGUCUUAUGUUUGCCUUUGUUGCCAAGUCAUCAGAUGCAUUAUCUGACUGCAUUGAAAAUUGAUCGAGCAGAAGAAUUCCAGUUGGGGGCUCUGUGCAGUUGUAAAGGGACAUUCUUGUAAAGACGAUCCAAUAAGGCCAGAAGAGCAACAAUUAGUUUUUGGUAGGGGACCUUUUAGAUCUGACCAAACAAUGAGGGCUUUAAGGCCCGGGCAAGAGAUAUGAGAUUAACGGUUCAAUUGCCCGGCCCUGUGAAAUAUUAUCAAAGCUCGAUAUGCCAGAUUUCGGAUCAGCUUUCUUGUUCCCCGGCAUCCAGACAGGUCUUUUCCAUUACGAUAUUCGCAGCCCACCAUCAACUCCCCAACCCAAGACCCCAGACGAACAAGUUACAAUUUUUCAGACUGUCACAUACAUUUUUUAGGACAUAAGAUCGUCAAUAUUUGCUGUUUUUUUGCUGAUUUACCCCCUUAAUUUGAAAAGCAAUUUUAACAUAUUAACUCCGAAUAUAUAUGAUCUAUCAAAAUCGAUAACUAUAAUUCUGCUUUCGUACAUCCAGUUUUAUUUUCCUUUUUUUUUUUCAAAUGAAUAUAAAGCAAAUUUGUUGAGCUUCAUCACCUCGGACACUUACAGGGGUUGGGCUGGCUAAGGAGAGGGUUUCAUCUGAGAUAUGUGUAGUGGAUCAUUAUUCCGCCAGCUUCGAUGACAAUAAGAGAAGUUAGGAGCAAAGAAGUAAAAGAAAUGGUAUUUGAAAUCUCCAUAAUGCCAAAUAAACGUAUUAUGACUAAUUUGAAAUCUCCACUAAAUCAAUUCAGUAACAAGCAAUACUUAGAAACCAAAUGAAAGGCAUUUUUAUUUGGACCAAUGCUUGAAGAAUAAAAAGAUAAAGGUUCAACAACCACGCUUAAUACUCAAUAGGCAUGGUUUCAGGCUUUCAGAAGAGGCUGGUCAGCUUCUAACUGAACUGUAAUGCUACCAAAGAUAGAUGCAUCAGCAUAGGCUCAAAAUGGUAAACCAAAAUUCAGAUUAAAACUACUAGUGAGACAAUUUAAAUGGCCUUAGAUGCAGCAUCAACUAAGCACUAAUUCAUGCUAAAGCAACUGGAUUUUUUUCUGGAACACGAUCUCCACCUUGUUAGCAGGUAGGAGCAUUCUAUAGAAAAUGUGCAGAAAAAUGUUUCAGAGUAAUUUCAGAACAACCAGACUUCACAUUGGAGGCCGACCAGAACCAAGCAGUUGUCCAACCAGAUUUGUCACCUGAACAAGAAGAAUUAAGAGACAAGAUCAUGUAUUUAUUAAUUUGUGUAACAUUUCCUAUAGCGUCCACUACAUACCCCCAGCCCUUUCUUUUUCCUCUCCUUUUUCAAGUUGAAAGUAAUUGUAAAGCAGAAACUACCCCUUUCAUUUGGCUCUUCAACUUGUAGUAGUCACUUCCUAAUUCCUAUUCAUGGCACUGAUAAAUUUCCUAAAGGUCAUCAGAGCACAACCGUAUCUCCUACACCAUGGAACGUACAGGGUGCUCAUCAUUUGGCAAUUUCUACAAUUGCAGCAACAAUAUUUAUUCAAUAUGCUGAAAUGCAAGGAUUGCAUCCGGUAGUCGAGCAGUCAAUUUUUUUAGUGAUGCAUGGCUUCCUCAGUUUACAUAUGAGAGUGAAAUUAAAGUAUCCAGUGUGUUACCUGCCAGUACUUAGAAACACAGCGAUCAAUACAGCUGUUUUCUCCCAUAUUCAGCUCAGAUUCCUUGUACCUUUAGGAGAAACAUGCUCAAAAUUGCAAAUCCAGAGAAGUGUCAUCAUAAUAGGAAAUGAAAAGCAGAAACUUCAACAUGCUAUAUUAGCUAUAUUCAUCAACAAUAGAUAAGAAAUCGAAACAAGGCGAAAAUCGAUACCUUUUCUCAACACACUUGUUAAAACAUGUGUGUGUAAGCCUGGAAGAUCAACAGUAAAAGACGAGUAAAAAUCAGGUUGCAUAUGUACUUGGAAGACCUAAUUUUCUAAUCAAGAACAGUAUCAGCUACUCUAAAAGCAGGCACUUGCCAAUUUAUAACAAUCCUUCUGCUUCUGGAUCUACAGGUUCAACAUAGUAUGAAAGGAAUAAUUAUCUAUUGAAUAAGCAACAGACUAGAAGGUAUCUAAGUCCUUCAUUUUCUUUCUUUUUUCUCAAGAUUUUGAAGUAAAGUUCUAUAUGUAAUAUCACCAAAAAAAUAAAAAGAGCUAAUUUAUAAUACUCAUAUAACCUAACAAAAUUCUCACUUGUGGUAAUCCAUUGAAAACUCUCAGUCAUUUGAGCAAAGAAGAAAGUAAGCAUAUCGUAAAGAAAAGGAGGUGAUUCUUCACUAACAAGAGAAAACUGUACCUAAAAUCAAUUAGCCUUCCGGCUCGUUCUCUUAAGCAGUCAAUAAGUGUAAUAAGCCGCGCUAGGCUCGCUUAUGAUGGAUCCUCCCACUUAAUUAAAUUCGGGAAUAAAUGCAAAAGUUCGAAGUUUGAUCUGCCUAUAUCCCACAUAAGAACAAGAACUGUUUAGGAUUGAGAUGAAGAUAAUACAAUGUGGAAGGCCUUACUUGUUAAAUAAUUCGACCCUGUAUUCCAUCUCCUUCUCUGCCAUGCCCAAAAUCUGCCAAGUCAUACACAUAAAAAGAUGAUAAAGUUAUAAACCAAUUCCUGCUUAGUUUUACUUGAAACAAUCAACGCUGAGCACUGAGUAAAUUCUAUGAUUCCGCAGACUAUUUCUAAAACCAAUAUCUCAAAAUUCACGACUAAUUAGCCAAAAAAAAAAAAAAAAAACCAAAAUCAUCAGCAUGAGCAGAUAUCGAGGUCAAUAUAAUCAGGAAGGUAAGAUACCAGUUCCUUGUCGAUUCCUGGAGGAGGAGGAGGAGCACUAUUUGCAGCCAUUGUUCACUAAUUUCUGGAGAAAAGGAAAAAGACUUGAAACUUUAAUUUAUAUACAAACAAAAAGGAAAAAAACGAAGAAGAAGAAGAUGGAGAUAAGACUAGGCUCAGAAAAGCUCAGAUGGAGGAAAGAGGCUCACAAAUCGGAGGCCAAAUAAAGUCCUGAUGCGGAACAACGAAGAAUUGCUUGUCAAGUCGGAUAUUUUGAGGUUUAGGGUUUAAGGAGCAGAGACUGGUCUUGAACCCUGCAGACCCUGAAAUCUUUAAAAAAUCAAAAAAUAAAAUAAAAUACAAAGAAAAGGGCAUGUAGACCCUGAUUUUACUGUAGAGUACCUACUAUACGAUGUAUGUAUGUAUAUCAUGUACCAGAUCGUCCGGUUAAGUUUCUUUUUUUCUUCCAUUUUUAACCUUAAACAAAUAACAAUAAACGGUUUUUUCUUUUUCUUUUGGGUCCCGUCAGGCCUUAACAAGGUUUUUUUUUUUUUUGAAAAAUACUUUUUAUUUGAGCAAUUUCAAAUACUUGUACUCUUCUAAAUGCACAUGUAUACUAUAUAUUAUACAAAUACUCACAUUUGUCGCAGAGAAAUGAGUUUGCUUGAUGUCAGUAAUCCAAUUUUAGAAUCUCACCAACUUUUAUUGAUAAUAAUAGUACGAUACAAAGUGCACAACAACACAACGGAUGUAAAUAUUAACCUAUAACUUGUACCGUUAGUAUUAAAACUUGUAUAAUGUGUUGUUUCAAAAUAGAGGAAUAUGGAUUUAACCCUUUUAAUACAUACAUAUAUAUAUGUAAAGAGACCAAAAAUAUUUUAUUUGAUGCAUAAAUAAAUGAAUCAAACUUUUUAAGAAUGUAAUUUUUUUUAUUUAAUUGCUUUGAGUAAUUUUUUAAGCUUGUUUGGAACUUAAACAGGCCUCUUUUUUUUUUCUGUAAUAAAUAUGUUGUAAUCGCUUUUAUAUAUUGAUUGAAAAUUCAACUAAAGAAAAACACGGCAUCUGAAAAGGAAAAAAAGUAAGAUGGGAGGGUACCGUACGUAGCACCACCAGGGUCGGUCAUCAGUCAUCAGUCACAUAUAAUCAACACAUCAAAUCAUCUCAUCUCCCGCAGCAUACAAAAUGAUAAUCUAACAAUUAGCAAGAAAUGGUACAGAGUCCUCGGCAUAAUUUACACACUAUAAAUAAAAUCCCAGUGAUUGUUGCAAACUCUACUGCCUAUUCCUAUUACACACACAUGCGAAGAUCUCCUUGUGCUCUCUGAUCCAGAUGCUGCUGCUCUUCCGGACUCAUGGCAGUAUUUUAAAGUGAAAAAGCCACGAGAUUAUAAAGGCAAAAACCAUGCACCCAAGCAGAAAAUUCAUGACACGACGGCCAUGGCAGUAACCUCGGGUCUCGGAGAAGACCACAGGUGCUGUUGAUGCUGCAGUAGCUAUACCAGUGCCACUGUUCACCUCGGUUGCUUGUUCUCCAGCAAUGUUCAUUGCAGGGGCGCCGCAAAUUUCACAAGUUCUGGAUAAACAUUUACACGAGGCACAGGCAGUCAGUCCACAUGAUACACCAGAAGCAACUGAAAUAAGGCUUUUCUAAAUGGUCAAAAUUCUGCAUUUUAUACGUUCUGGUCUCCGUAUAUUUCCCAAAAAAAAAAAAAAAAAAAGAGAGUUGGAAACACAAAAGCAAAGAAGUUUCUGGCCUACAAAGUUUGACCAUUCUCUGUACCAUCUUGAUGCUUUUCUCAAGAAAGUUCAUAAAUAACUGCUAUCAGCUAUGUCCGCUCGCCGGCGCAUGGCCAGAGUUGAAAUGUCGCCAGAAUCAUCUGCUUGAAAUGUCGCCAAAUUCAUCUGCUUAAUCUCUUUAAAGUUUACCAAAAUCAUUUCCAGCAACUACCUUGCCAACAUAAAUACAAAGACGAUGACAGAAUCCAUUUGUUUGGUAUGGGAUUUGCUUGCAUGGACCUAAAGGUCUGGUAAGAUAAAAGGGAAAUGCAACAUAAAUUCUAAAGCUAAUUUCCCUUCACCAUGUGGUCAAAGCUCCUUGCUUGUUCCAGUGAUCAGGAUAUUGACAGAGCACUUGUUCUGGGCGAGGGAUAUGGAGGGAGAUUGGGGGAGAGGGAGGAAUUUGAGGGAGGUUGAUUUGCCUUGGUCGAGGGGUCUGAGAAGCAGAGGAAUAGUGGUUGGUACUCGAUUGGGAUGGCAAGAGAUUCACAUUCAAAAGGAGUCGUCAACCGGCAUUCACAUAAAUGUUCAACUGCCCAUAUUUAUACUUGCGGCAAAAGAGUGGCUUGAACUUUUAAUUCUUAAUAAUCAGAAUUAUCUUCCUAUGAACUUUUCAUCUCCUACACACCAAAAGAGAGUAAGCAGUACUAAAAAUUUGACCAACAACUGUUUAUUCUUUGUUCCUGAAUAGACAAGAAGGUUGACUGUAGAUUGUCAGACAAGCUCUAUAGCAGUAUUUCGUGAUUCAUAGAGGGAACAAGCAUCAAAAAGCAAAUUAGAGGAAUGCUACCCAGGCCAUCAGAUGAUCUCCAAAAACCAAAUAAUCUGAUCAUGCACAUAAACAACCACAAGAUCAAAUGAAAUAAAGCUGGUCAAAAAAGAAGGCUUACUGGUAAAGGGAAAAGUUUGAAGUUAUAUGUAGCAGCAUCUAUCUAUCUAAAAGAAAAGAGAAUUGAUAAAUCAUAAUGCAUAUCACCCAAUCUUCGAGAACAAAAGGAAACAUACAAGCAAUCAGGUGACAAAGUGCGUAAAAGCAUAUCGUAAACAGUCAUGGAUCCCAGGUACACUAGCCCCACCUAACAUCCAUGAUAUCACCAAAAGUUAGGUGAAAUGCUGUCUAACAACUGUGUUAUAUACACAAAAUAGGAGCUAAAGUAUGUGUCGAUCAAUAAUUGGCUGCUAUACUGAAAUGGACACAUUUUUCAAAUUUAAAUUGAUAUGUCAGCAAGAUGGCAAAAGAAUAUGGACAAUGACAAACACCAAUAAAUCCAACGAGGAGCAACAAUAAUGCAAGUAACACACGAUUGAUGUUUAAGAUGGAAAGAAUCGGAAGCUCGUAGCAUUGGUCCUGAUAAACCCCAAUUUAGUGCUUCUUCUCCGAUGUUUAAGAUGGAAAGAAUCCAGUAAAAAUUUCAUUUUCUGGAGCUACUUAUAUCCACAAUCAGCCAUCUGAAAUAAUGAUGUGCAUCAAUAUGAUAAAGGAUUAUGUACUCAUUACUCUACGAAGCUUGUAGAGAAUGGUGAAAUUUCCCUGCUUCAAACCAGGUAAUUUCCAUUCUUUUGGCAAUCUUGGUAUUGAAGUCAAGCAUUUUUACAUAUCCAGGAGGAGACAUAAAGCUUUCCCUACCUAUUUAACUUGCCAUUUCAGUUAUAGACCAACAACACAUUUUGAACCCUAAAUAUCAAACUAACAGGAUUCUUCUUUAUUCCAACAAAAGUAAAGAAACAGAAAAUGUGGGGCCCCCAUCAACACAUUCUAGAGUACAUUCUUCAACCACAGAUCUCACGAGACACAUUUUUUCUGCAGGCAUUAUUCAGAGAUAACCGUAGAAACAUAAAAGAGUCAUAUGGCAUAUAAAAGGUAAGCAAAAUCGAAGUAGCAAGCAUCUUAGACAUUUAACAAGAAUGAAUAUCUAAACAAAAAUGAAAAGCAUUCAUUGGCACUAGAAGCAGAACAACACUAUCAACAAAAGCAAAAUUCCCAGAAUGUGAGUUCGGGGAAAUAGAUCUCUUACAAAGAAACUUCUUACCGAAUUCCCUAAUUUUAAGGCACUUGCUAACAAAAAUCACGCAAAUUGCCAAAAACAGACUUACUCGGAGAAUUCGGGCAAGCACCAAACCUUGGCUUAAGCAGGAUAAGCAGGUCUCAAGUUACAAACUUUACUCAGCAAAAUUCAUUUCUCCAUCAAAACAGAGCCAAAAAUUAACUAACCAAAAUACACCAGGCAAAAUUACACUAUUAAUGAAAAAGAGAUGAACAAAAGUCACAUACCUAAGCAAUUCCUGUAAAAAGAUCAGAUUUUUAAAGAUAAGAAAUAAAGCAAAAUUUAAAGAUCAGAUUUUGAUACUUACGUAUUGCCCUUCAUCUUGAACCAAGUCUCAGCACAUUGCUUAUGGGCUGAACCCAAAUCCCCUUUACAACUGCAUCCCAAUUCAAUAAUAUUACUCUGGUCACCGCCGCCGGCAUUACCACUCCUGGCAACACUGAAUUUCAGAUGACAAAUCCUACACUCUCUUUUCUGGGCUCUAUUACUAUGAACUUUGAGCUCCAAUUCACCACCCUCCAAAUCCACCAUCCCUUCUUCCUCUUCAUCGGAAACUGUAGAGGACCCUCUUCGGCUGCUAUGCCUUUUCGGCACCGAAAUACCCUCCGACUCUGUCGAGAACCGGCAUUCCUCGUACGACCCACCAAGCUGCGAAUGCAACGAACGGCUGUCGUCCUCGGUGUCGGAGAAGCGAAAGCUCCCGUCAGUUGUCGUCUCGCUGCUGGCAGCUACGGAUGGCCUCGGCCUCCGUCGGCGGCGGCGUCGGCGGUGGCGGCGGAGACUAGUGCUACUACCAGCAGCAGCAGCAGCGGAAUUGUCGGCCGAUUCUAUGUCAGCUGGGCAUGUGGUGGCGCUAAUAGCCGACAUUUUACAGAACCCAGAAGUAAAAAAUCAGUGUGGUUGGAAAUAUUUUGGUUAUUUUAUUUUAUUUUUUGGGUUCAAGUUUGGAAGAGCAUGGGGGGCAGGGGGCUGGAUUUAACAAUGCUCACCAUGAGUGUGUGUUUGUUUGAGUGAAGAAUGAGGGCGGAGGAAUUUCCCUCUCUCUCAGGACAUAGCAGUAUAUAUGGAGUGUAACGUAUGCAAGGUAGUAUGAGGAUUGUGAAAAAUAAGAGACAAGGGAAAUGGAGUGUGACCGGGGGUGGGGGCUAGAGAGGUUGGUGGGGCUGGCGAGAGACAGGGGCGUCGUGUCAGCUUGGAGAGGAGGGAGGGCGGAGUGCUGAGCUGAUGAAAGUGAAAUGAAACGCAAACAUUUCUUGCUCUGCUACUGUGUGUGUGUGACAGUGAGCGAGUGAAUAAUACUUGUCAAGUAAUUUGUGAUGACUGGUUUUGGAUAAGUAGCAAUUAGUAAUGAAUAAUGACUGUAUGUGACUGACUAUCUCCGCUCAUUCCUUCCUUCAGUUCCUUGUCCUUUGGCUUUGGAGCAGCAAGGGGAUAAUACGUUGCGUUGAU